AUAAACUAGCAUCUUAUUUUCUUUUUUUUUUUUUUUUUCUAAGAAUGUAAAUAUCAUUUCAUGAAAUGAAAGUUUAGGUAUUACAUCAAGUAAUUCCUAAAUACAUGGUUCUAUGCCAAAAAAGUUUUAAAAACAAAGAAGCAUAAACAUUCGAGCUUCAAAUCAACAUCUAAAACCACAAGCGGUAAAACUAAUGGGACGUCGAGAAGAGAACUCGAUAAAAUGACUCCCCUAAGGAAAAGAAGGCAAGAAACAAGAGCAUAAAGGGAAAUAGGUGGACAUCAGACUGUUGUGGAAGCGAAGCGGAAGUCCCUUCAACGUGAGCCCGAAACCAAAAAAAGCAGCGGAGCAUCACGAGCUAAAGGUGGCAGGCAAUGUUGUUCUCUACCGAGACCCCAACAGUAGCGCGAACAAAGCAACAUCAUAUCCUCCAAAAGCCAUACUAACACCUCCAAAAUGCAAAGAACAAUCACAGUAAACCACAACCAAACUGAAGUUUCACUAGCCACUACAAAUACUUAGCUGAUGAAAGAGAGCGAAAGGCAUUGAAGGAGGUGAACUAAGGUAGCAGAAUAAACUCAAACAUCAAGUAGAAAAGCUAACAAGCGCGACAUAGCCGGAGUUGCGUGGACAUGCCAUCGAAUCUGCGACGCAAGGCUAACCUCAAAACCUGUAUCAAGCAAAGACAACUACUCCUUCCGGCUGAAACUCACUAGAAGCCUGAACAAGCAGAAAGAGACUCGGGCAAAUCAAGUCUAAAGCAUUAAGUCUGCAAUGACUUGGGAGAUGGCACGAAUAGCGAUGGAACCCGGUGACCAAAGGAGCAAGAGAAGUCGGCUCUUGAAAGGAGGCAAUACAAAUAACAACAAUCUUCAUGAAUAAUCCAUUCCCUCUGCAGACCUAUGAGCUGAAGAUCGGAACAACCAGGAUUCUGCAACCUAAUCACUAACCACACCAACCUAAACUCCAACAAACAACAGAGCUCACUGUACUCAACGAAGAGACAAUAAGACAGGGAGACCAACGACUCUAAUUCACAGAGCGGCAGCAGCGGCGAACAGCUUGAAGACUAGCAGCAAACGAAGGAAGGAGGAGAGCAGAAGCUUACCAACACAAAGGCGGAGUAACAAAACACCGCCAAACCUCUACCAAAGGAAGAUCCGCCGCACGCCAAAGGGAAGGAGAAGAGUGAUGAAAGAGACCACAAAUCUACAAACCACUUGCCAGAAAAGCCAUAGCACCACUUGAUAAAAAAUCAAGAAGUCGAGCGAAGCUAAACAACACUCAAAAUCACCAAGGUUCACCGCGUGUAGAGACGUCCUAAAAGUCACCGUCUUCAAGCAACCAUAUAAGGAGCGAGCACGCCGUGGCGGUGAAUUUACCGAAAACGCUGAAAGGUCCCCAACAAGUCGACGCCUUUUCAAUCGAAGGAAGAGUUUCCAGAGAACGAAGCCACUUAGAUCUGUCACCAACGCUCGUCAAAUCACAGUUGUGAAGGUGCCCAACCGAUGAACGGAGAACCGAGAAGCCCUCUCACGGCCAUGGCGAGAGGCGCCAAUGACCGGAGAGGCAAGAACUGCGGCAGAUCUAGGUUUUACAAGCAGUGGCUGUGGGGGGAGAAAAAUCGCAUGCGCGUCUCGGACACGCGCCCGACUUCGAGGUUUAGUCUUUAUUUUUUUUUAUAUUUUUUUUUAAGUGUAAUUUUCCAAUCCACAAAAAAAAAGACAAAAUUACAAAAAAAAAUCAUUUUUGCCACAACUAAAUAAACCGGCCGGUACAAAUUUCGAAUUUUGGUGUCAGAUUUUGUAUUUUUCCAAACCACAAAUAAAAUUGAAACAUAAAUAUUUCAAUUUGGCCACAACUAAUUAAACCGGGCCGGUACAAAAGCUGUAUUUUGUUUUUGGAGGUUUCUUGCUUUAUCACCACCGCACAUCUUCGUCUUCCUCGAGCUUCCUCUCCACGGCGAAGAGUCAACCCAAAGCUUCUUCUUCUUCUUCUUCUUCUUCUUCUUCUUCUUCUUCUUCUUCUUCUUCUUCUUCUUCUUCUUCUUCUUCUUCUUCCUACAUAGCUCUUGUGUAAUCUCAUGGUCUUACUAUGAAGGCUUCUAACUUCAUGUGGCCUUCCACAUCACCCAGAUUCACCAUCACCACACCUUAUCCACACCCACACUUACGCCUCCGCACGUAACCUCACGCGCCGCCCCAUUUUUACAGGUAAAAGCUUUCCAGCGCGGUGACUUCGACCGUUUCGCUGAUGAUGUUAAGUCCGGUAAAGCUUGGAGAGAUGCAUGGAGAACCGCUAACGAUGGAUUCGAACAAUUUGUCUUUGAUGCUAAGAAAACCGCCGAGCGAAUUGAUCGUCAGUACGCUGUUUCUCACCGGUUUAGCUCCGCUGCUAGUUCCGCCGGACCGUGCUCGUGAGAUUGAUCGUGAAUUUGGGAUUAGUCCUUGUGUUAGGAGUCUCUCUGCCGAUUUUAGUAGAAAUUUCCCUAAGGUAUACUUAUGAAUUGAGUUUUUGGUUUAGCUUCUCAUGAAGAUGAACUCAAUUUCAUGUCUUGAUUGUAAUUGAUUAAGUUUUUCAUGUGCUAUGCUAUUAAGCCAUUCUCAUGGUAGAUUUUAGAGUCAAAAAUCCGAACCGGAACAGAUCCGAAAUAUUAGACCCGAUCCGAACCCGAAAUUUUAAAUUUACCCUAUUGGGUCCUAAACUCCUCUACCCGAAAAUCCAAAUCCGAACCCGAACCGAACCCGAACCCAAAAAUACCCGAAAUAUAAAUGUAUAAAAAUAAUUUAGGACUUGAAUACCCGAGUUAUCUAUUCAAAUAUCAUAAUAUAUACCCGAAAUUCUGAUUUUUUACCCAAAAAUCCCGGUAUAUAUUAAAAAAAUUUGAAUUUGUAUCCGAAAAUCUGGGUAUUUACCCAAAAAUUCAGUAUUUGUCCGAAAACCCGGAAAUUUUUGGGUAUUCGGGUAAACUUUCGGCUAUUUGUGGACCCGAAAAAUUCUCGGAAUUUUAACGAUUCUGAAAAUUUUUACCCGAACCGAACCAAACCCGAAUGGACCCGAACCGAAACCAAACCGAAUUUUUAUGUUUACCUUAUUGGGUCCUAAACUACUCUACCCGAGAAACCCGAAUGGUUUUUAUCCGAACCCGAUCCAAGUACCCGAAUGCCCAGGGCUAGUCGCUAUUGUCAUUAUUGAUAAUGUUAUAUUAUCAGGUGGAGCAAAAUUGGGUCUAGCCCAUCACCUAGUUAAUUAUAAAACUUUUCAAGAUAAUAUACGAAGAUCAGAUAAGAAUCUUGAAAAAGAUAUUGGGCCUGGUUAAAAAGUUUUUUGUUCUAUUUUUUAAAGUUGAUAAACAAAGUUCUUUUGCAAACAUAUCAAACCCGUGGAAUAUAAAUGUUCUUUAUUGUAUUAAAAGACGAGUAAAUUUUGUAAGUAAUAGCAGAUUUUAGAGUAAUUUGUAAAUAAAAAAACCCCAACAGAUCAAGCCCAAUAAUUAUUUGAAAAAUUGCAAAAUAUAAGAUAAUCAUCCAAUAAGAUUAAUGGAAGCCCAACAAUAAUAAAAAAUGACUAUCCCAAGAAGGACGGGUCCAUCAAUCAUGUGGAUUGAUCAAUUUUUGUGUAAGGCAUAAAUUGAUCACAGUAGAAAGAUGAGAGAUGUAUCUUGAAAAAGGGAUUGACCGAUCUUAAUGAAUAAUUUUGGGAGACCUCUUGUGGUAACCAAUAAGAAGAAGAACGUGCAUGUGCGGAUUGGUAGGAAUAAAUCGAUGUAGUGAGAAGUUUUCUUCUAAGUGUUCCUACCAACACAAAACUUUGAAAGGUUACCACAGCGAUCCCGGAAGGAAUGCUGGAGUAGUCAAAGGAUGGGGGACCUUCCGGGAAGUGGUUGUCGAAACUGUGUGAGUGAGGCCACAACACAAAGAAAGAUCAUGUGGUGAUUUUUAGGGCCGGUAAACAAGUCUUUAAGCCUCCUGGACGUAGCAAACUGGCCGUCGAAUAUUGGUGGGCUCACAGGCCUAGUGAGAGGACGUGAGGCCCACUAAGAGAGGUGGGCCCAUGGGCUGGUGAUGAACAUGGGGCCCACUAGAGAGGUGGUGGUUGGGGCGUUACACUACGCCACACAUAUGAGGGUCGAUAACCCAUUUUAGUCUCCAAGAAAAGCACGUUUGGGUAAUAUACUGCUUUAUAAACUCUGGCCAGUAGAGACGAAGGAGAUUUAGAAGCCUCCAUGACUGUUUUGCAAGCAAAGCUUGAUUAAACCUGCCAUAUCACGAAAUCCCAAUCCUCCUCUGUCCUUUGAUCUACAAACUUUCUCCCAAGCAACCUAAUGCAUCUUGUCUUUAUCCUCAUGAGCACUCCACCAAAACUGCAUCACAACACUUGUAAUUUGCUUUCUUUGAUGCUUAGUCAACUUUAAACAGGACAUUGCAUAAACAGGAAGGGUCAUUGCUAUAGAUUUUAACAAAACUUUCUUCCUGCCGAAAGAGAGUGUCUUCUCAAACCAGCCACUAAGUCUUGACUUCAAUCUAUCCGUGAUAAAGUUAAGGAGGUCGUGCUUUGAUCCACUAAAACACUCAGGAAGUCUCAUGUACUUGCCAUCACCACCUUCUUGUUCAAUACAAAAAAACAGCCCUAGCAUCUGUUGCAUGUAAGGGUCUAACUUCUUCCCAAAAGUAAUCUCCUACCCCAAAGCCUUUCCAUCCAACUCAAGGCAUUUCAAAUAUUCAGUACACUCUAUAAGGCUUGCUUGAAAAAGGAAAAGACUAUCAUCCACAAAGAGCAGAUGUUGAAUCGAUGGACAGGAAGGUGAAGGUUUCAUUCAUGUUAAUCUUCCGUCAAGCUCAGCUUUAUUCAUGAUGUGCACCAAAGCUUCAACACAAAGAAUGAAGAGAAAAGGCGAUAACGGAUCACUCUGCCGUAGUCCUCUUUGGGUUGAAUAUAUCCAUAUGAAGCUCCAUUAAUAAGAAUAGAAUAUGAGACCAAGGUAACACAACUCAUUAUCCAUUUCCCCCACUUGAUAUUAAAACCUAGCCGACUAAGUAGCUCUUCUAAAAAAGACCACUCAACUCGAUCAUAAGCUUUACACAUAUCAGCUUUAUAACCAUGAAAUCUUCAUCACAACUAGUAUUUGUCUUCAAGGCAUGAAUGAGUUCAUGUGCAAGUAAAAUAUUGUCUAAUAUCAACCGGCCGGAAACGAAAGCUCCCUGAGUAUCCGAGACAAUAGAAGGUAAAAUACAUUUUAAUCGAUUGCACAUAACCUUAGAAACAAUCUUGUAUAGUACCGAACAAAGACUAAUUGGUCGGAUAUCAGUCAUCUUUGAUGGAUUUAAAUUCUUUGGGAUCAAACAAAUCUGUGUGAAGUUCCACUCAGGCGGUAAGGAACCAGAUUCAAAAAACUGUUGUACCUCAGAUAUAACUUGAGGCCCAACAAUGUCCCAAAAAGAUUGAUAAAAACACCCCGACAUGCCAUUAGCUCUUGGGGUACUGUCACCUCUACUGAAUACUGCCACCUUAAUCUCCUCGCCUGAUACUGCAUGCACUAGAGCAGCAUUCAUCAGAGAUGAAACGCGCGGAAGCUAACCAUCCAAAGCUUCUGAAAUGAGGCAUGGAGAGGAGCUCGAGAACAUUUUGCGGAAGUAAUCAACAACCACUUCUUCUUUUGAGCUUUCAGAGAACUGCUCAACACCCAUGUCAUUAAAUAUGGAGAUAAUUCUAUUAUGAACUCGGCGUUGUUUAACACUCCCAUAGAAAAACCGAGUGUUCUGAUCACCGUUACGCAUCCAUUUUUCUUUGCUCUGCUGCUUCCAAAAGAGUUCUUCCUCAUAAUAAGCCUCAACUAAUUUCCACUGUAGAGUUUUCAUAAACUAAAAAUCUGGUAUUAGUUUAGCUCCCUCAAUUUAAUGUUCAUAUAACAGCCUCGAAAUAUUCUCCUGAGAGUUCUGGUUAGUAGAUUUCCAGAGAGAUAUAGACCUUCUACAAUCCUCAAGACGGCUCAUUAAGGAAUAGUUAUCCAAAGCUAAACCUUUUUUUCCAACCCUCUCUACCUCAGAGAAAUCCGUUCUCGAAACCCUCCUUUUUUGAAACAUAAACCGGCCUCGUUACAACGUGUUUUCAUUCACAAACCUUGUGAUGAUAAAGCGAUGAUCAGAGCCAAUCCUUUCCAAAUACUUAGUUUGCACCCUUGGAAAAAGAUGAAACCAAGCUACAUUACCAAGAGCUCUAUCAAGCUUACAUUGCAUCCAAACUUGAUUGUGUUCCCCAGCCCAUGAAAAUUUAUUACCAAUACUAGCAAUUUUCGGUUUACCAGACACCGGAUCAAUGCCAACUUCAUCAUCAGUCAAAAAUCCAAACAAACGAUCAUCCUUACUAAUUUUUGGAACAAGACGACUUAGAAUGAUCGAUUUAAUUCUUCCCGUAGCAACAGCUUGUCGGUUUGAGGGAUUAAACGGGCAGCGUUCCUUGUCAUGAGUUAGCCUUUGACACUGAUUGCAUCGGUGGCGGAUUCUCUCAUACUCCAUGCCAAUGUUAACAUCUCUCCAUAUAUGAUCUAGAGUUCUCUAGAAUUAUUCAAGGGUUUGUUUACAUCAAAUAGAACUCUAACUCUGACAUAUCCCUUGCUUAGUGGUUUCAAGGGAUCAAAAGCAGCAAGAGUAACCUGUCCAAUAUGCGCUACAAUUUCCUUAAUGGUAUCAGCUGUGUUAAAGUUCACCGGAAUAUUGCGACGACGGAUCCAUAUUGGCAGCACUUUCAAGUAAUCAGCUGGCUGUUUUUCCACCCAUCGCUCCAGCGUAAUAUCCAGUCAUUGAAGGUCCAAGCACCGGUAUCUAAGACCGUAGUUAACUUAGACUCUGAAUCAAAGAAGAACUUAAACUGUUCAUUAGAAAGAGCUAUUCCUCUAGCUCUGUUGUACACUCGCCAUAAGUGAGGCAUUUCAUGAAUCAAGUCAGACAUCUUCUGGUUCUCUGGGCACAAAAGACGACCAAUGAUACUACUCUUGUUUCGCAAGCAAGAACAGAACUGCGGAAGGUUUUGCAGCACAAUCGGUUUAUCAUCUUCAAUCGACAUCUCAUGCAAAGCUCUAUCCAACUCAUACUCUAAGACUGCACGUAAUUAACUUAUCAAACAAGGGUUUUGAGCUUUAACACCAGUAGGUUCGACGACGGCUCUCAAGAACACGACGAAAUUGGUUAAAUAUAUAAAUGAUCUCGAAAGAUUCUGUAACAAAAGUGAUAGAAACAGAAAAUAUUCUCCCAAAUCCGGCGAAAACAAAGAUAUUCCCGGUUUACUUAAGUUCUCUCCCUAGAGAUAAAAAUCGCCUCUCUUUUUACUAUGAUUCCUUGUGUCAUGUACUAUUUAUCUAUUUACUCAUUAGUCAUUACCAAUCUAUAUUAACAUUUUUGAAGUACGUUUUGGGUUAUAACCUUUUAUUUUGUAUUAUUUGCAUAAUUAACCCCUUGCCAUUUGAAUAAAUGAAAAACUUUCAAUUAAAUUUUGUAAUUAAAUUAUAAUAAAAUUGCAAGAUUGGAAAUCAAUAUUUAUUACAUUUAAUAAAAUUUCCUAAAAUUCCCUAAUAAAUAAAAUAUUUCUCCAAUAUCUUUAUAUGAUCUUAUUUGUUUUGAAAUUAUAUUAUUACAUAAAACAUAUGUAUAGUAAAAAUAUAAUUUUUUGCAUAUGUAGCAAUUUAAAUUUUUGAAAACGAGCGUAUAUUACUCAAUCGAUACAAAAAUGUAUGUACUAAACUAUUAUUGAUAAUUGUGAUAAUUGUGUAGCACGUGUCAUGUGAUAUAACGAGUUAUAAAUUACAUAUAUGUUUUUAUGGGUUGUCUACUAUAGUCAAGCUCACAAAAUAUUUUAAUUCCAAAUUAGACUAUUUGAACUAAAGAUGUUAUGCCAACAUCAUUUCAUUAUUUUGAAUAUUAGACUUAUAUAGUUAAGUUGUCAAAUUACGAUGACAUACAAACAAAUUAUCAUGCCAUAUUUCAUUAGAUAAAUUAUAGAAUUAACAAUCAAAAUACAGUAGUACAAUCUUAUAAACCAACCAAAAUUUUUUUAAAAAUUCUUUUUUAAAAAUAUCGUCCCGCGGUGUACAGCGGGUUAAAUUCUAGUAAAAUAUUAAAUCAGCACUACUAUAUUAGGAUUUAACAUAAUUUUGUUCAAUUAACUAAAAUCAUAACGGAAAAUCGAAUAGGUUACUAUGUGCAAAUCUAAAGGCUGUGUAGUCUACAAUAUUACAAAUUUCUUGGUCAUUAACAAAAAGAAAGCUACAAGAUUAAGAAUUUUUUGGGCAUAAUACUUUAGUAUUGUGUAUUUCCAUAUUUCUUGAUCUCGUAUAUUUGUGUAUAUUAUCUAGUUUCUAUUGCUUAGAUAUAAAACUUGGGCAAUACGUUUUGUAUGUUUGUGUAUAUACUUCACCUAAGCAUUCUAAUAAAACACAUAAAACAUUAUCUAUUGAUCGACUCUAAAUUUAUCAUGGUAUCAGAGCAGUAAUCGAAUUCUGGGAUUCUCUUUGUUUUUUUUAGAUUUGAUUUCGUAUCUUUGUGACGAUGGCUGAAGAACACAGAGCGAUGGUACCUGCGAAACCGACGGAGAAUCAACGACGAACGAUCUCUCCUUAUGACCAAACCUUGAACGACAACCCCGGAAGCAUCAUCUCACGCCCUUUGUUGUAUGAAGAUAAUUACGAAGAGUGGGCCGUGAAUUUGGACACCGCUAUUUACUCUCGAAAGAAAUUUGGUUUUCUUGAUGGCUCUAUCAAGGAACCAGCUGAAAACUCGCAGGACUAUGAAGAUUGGAAACCUAUCAAUGCUCUCAUAGUCUUCUGGAUUAAGAUGACAAUCGAACCGAAGCCCCUGUCGAAUAUCUCUCACAAACCGAUUGCAAAAGACUGGGGGGAUCAUAUUCGAAGCCGGUACCGUGUGACCAACGGUCCAAGGAUUCAGCAACUCCAACAAGAUCUAGCCAACUGUCAACAAGUAGGUCUUAGCAUUGAGACAUACUACGGACUGCUCACAAAACUGUGGGAUGCUCUCAUCUGCUAUCGACCUCCUUUGGUGUGCACAUGUGGUCAUUGCACAUGUGAUCUCAAUGGUGAGGAUGAAAAACGAAGGGAAGGAAACAAGGUUCAUAAUUUUCUGCGUGGUCUUGAUGAAUCGACUUAUGGAAUGGUGAAAUAGAAUUUGAUGGCUCGAGAUCCUCUACCUACGUUGGCAGAAAUAUACUUAAAAGUUACACAUGAUGAAGAUGCUCGCUUGAAGAAGAAAUGCUUUGAAGAAAAAAACUGAAAAUAUGGCGUUUGUUGCACAAACACAACGACCUCGCUCUCAUUAUGAUGAUAAAACCACAAGCGUUAUGUGCACAAAUUGCGGUCGAGCUGGGCAUCAAGCGGACUUGUUUUCAAAUCUUGGGAUUUCCUUAAAAUGGUGGGGUGAUAGACCAUGGAAUCGAACCGGUCGUGGAAGAGGAACAACUCCGGCAGCUAGUGGUACACGGGGUCGCGGUGGUCCUGCUCGUGUAAACGUUGCAAAGAUUGUUGAAGGACCUGGUCUCGGGGUGGCAAAUGUAGCUGUAACAGAUGCUGACCAUGAUGCUGUUUUGGGACUGACCGAUGAGCAAUGGUUGAGCAUUCAACGAGUAAUGAGUGCAGCAAAAACUGGUACAAGCGAACAAAUGUCUGGUAAGAUACUCUCUCCUUCUUGGAUUUUAGACAUAGGUGCUACUCAUCACUUGACUUGUAAGAAAGAGAUUCUUAAGAACAUACAAAAAUCUACACCAACUCAGAUUAUGCUAGUAGAUGGUAGAGUUGUUACAAGUGAAACAGUUGGUACAGCUGUGUUCAAUUCGCACCUUAGUUUGAUUGAGGUUUUCUACUUUGAGAAUUUGGGCUUUGAUUUGAUCUCGGUAACACAACUAAUGGAAGAAAAUAAUUGUGUGAUGCAAUUUGCUGUUUCAUUUUGUGUUCUUCAUGACCGUACUACGACGACGCUGAUUGGCAUAGGUGAGCCGGUUGGGGGUUUGGUAUAUUUUCGGAACACCGAGGUUGUUGCAGCUGCGAAGGGUCUCACGAAUUAGAGUGGAGCUGUGGCAUCGUCGCUUGGGACAUCCAUCACCAAAAAUAGUGGAGAUGCUUUCUGAUUUCAGUUUUAGUAGUAGUCGUACUUCUAUGAAUAAACUAUGUGACAUAUGUACUCACGCUAAACAAACUCGUUGUUCUUUUCCGUUGAGCAUUAAUAAGACUUCAGAGAUAUUUGAAAUGAUUCAUUGCGAUAUAUGGGGACAAUAUAGAGUUCCGUCUUUCUCUGGGGCUAGAUACUUUCUCACCAUUGUUGAUGAUUUUUCGCGUGGAACUUGUAUAUAUCUCAUGAAUGCAAAGAGCGAGGCACCGACAACUUCAAUUUUGUUUUCCUCUCGUAGAACGACAGUUUGGAAAGCAAAUUCGAUCGUUACGUAGUGAUAAUGGAAGUGAAUUUUUAUCACUAAUGACAUUUUUUUGGAACACGACAUACGUCAUGAGACCUCGUGUGUGGGAACACCGCAGCAAAACGGCCGCGUUGAGCGUAAACACCGUCAUUUCCUGAAUGUUGCUAGAGCUAUUUGUUUCGAAGGUCAUUUGCCUAUUGAAUUUUGGGAAGAGUGUGCUCUAGCUGCAGCGUACCUCGUCAAUCGGACACCAUAUGUGAUUCUACAAGGUAAAACUCCUUAUGAAAAUUUGUAUAGAGUUAAGCCUUCUCAUGAUCAUCUUUGUGUUGUGGGUUGUGUAUGUUAUUUUCAUAAUCAAGACCAUCACGGGGAUAAAUUUGCAAGCAGAAGUCGCAAAUGUGUAUUUGUGGGUUGUCCUGAUGGGAAGAAGAAAGGAUGAAGAGUCUUCGAUUUAGAAAAAGGAAUUUUUUGUGUCUCCUGUGACGUUAUUUUCCGAGAAGACACUUUUCCAUACCAAAAGAACGAUACACAAGACAUUGGUUUGGUCGAUGAGCAUCCAUCGUUGCAACCACAAACCUGUCUCGAUGAAACUCUAGUCUCUCACCCGUCUCUCAUGGAAGAUACACUGGCAGUUGUAAUUCCAGCUGCAGACACGUCGAAUUCGAGUGCAUCUUCAGCGGACGACAGCUCUAACGAUGAUGCAGUGACAAGUAACUCUGAAAAUGGAGAAGAACAUGUUGACUCCAAAAUCGAAGUAGAACUUGAUAUGGAUAAUGCUCCAAUUGCUGUUCGCAAAGAAGCUUGCCAACGACGUCCACCGGGGUAUCUCGCUGACUAUGAUACUAAACUUCUGUAACUGGAUCUACUAGUUUAUAUCAUCUAUCCGAUGUGCUGUCUAACGAACGCUUCUCUGCAAGUCACAAAGUGUUCUUGGCUGCUAUCACCAUUGCAAGCGAACCGAAAAUUUUCUCUGAAGCGAUGCAAGAUGCAUGCUGAAUAGAUGUAGUUGGAAAUGAAAUUACCUCUCUCGAACUGAAUAAUACGUGGACGCUUGAAGACUUACCUGACGGGAAAAAGGCCAUUGGUUGUCAAUGGGUCUUUCGUAUUAAACACCGUGCUGAUGGCUCCAUCAAACGUUACAAAGCAAGAUUAGUUGUUUUGGGAAAUAGACAAGUUGAGGGUGUUGACCAUGGUGAGACAAUUGCUCCAGUUGUUAAAAUGGCAAAAGUACGUUCUUUUCUUGCCGUGGUCUCUGCACGAAACAGGGAAGUAAGAUGGACGUCCAUAACGCUUUUCUACACGGUGAUUUGGAAGAAGAAAUGUACAUGAAACUUCCUCCAGGUUUUUCUAAGCAAAAUGAUGGGACCAAGAUGCUGAUUUGCAUCGCUUAAGAAAGUCUUUAUACGGUUUAAAGCAAGGACCAAGAUGCUGAUUUGCUAAACUUUCGACGUCUUUGGAAAAAUAUGGGUUUCAACAAUCUCAGUCCGAUUACUCUUUGUUUGUGUUCAAGAAAACGGCGACUGAAAUAAAAGUUCUUGUUUAUGUGGAUGAUUUGGUUAUUACGGGAAAUAAUGUUGAAGCAAUCGAAGCUUUCAAAUUAUAUCUCAGCACAUGGUUCCACAUGAAAUACCUUGGUGUGUUGAAAUAUUUUUUGGGAAAUGAGGUAGCUUGAAAUUCAGAAGGUAUAUAUUUGAGUCAGAGAAAAUAUACACUUGAUAUCUUAUCAGAAACAUGACUACUAAGCUCACAACCUGCUGCAUUUCCUCUUGAACAACAUCAUCAACUUGGCUUGGCGAAAGGUUCUCUUCUACCCGAUCCCAAACCAUACCGACGAUUGGUUGGGAAGUUGAUCUAUCUCAACGUCACUCGACCCGACUUGUCUUACUUCGUGAACGUGUUUUCACAAUUCAUGAAAGCUCCUCGUGCAGAUCAUUGGACAGCAGCACUACGGGUCGUUCGAUAUUUAAAAGGCACCCCAGGUCAAGGAAUCUUGCUCCAGUCCUAUUCUGAUCUCCAGAUUUUGGCAUGUUGUGACUCCUCAUAUGCUGAUUGUCCAUUGACUCAACGAUAUACGGUCGGCUGGUUUAUACAACUCGGUGCAUCUCCUAUCUCUUGGAAGACAAAGAAACAACAAGUGGUUAGUAUGUCUUCUGUUGAAGCUGAAUAUAGAGCAAUGGCUUGGACGACAAAGGAGCUGAUAUGGCUAAAGGCAUUAUUUCUUGAUCUCGGAGUUAUUUUGAAGUAACCUAUGCGACUGUUCUGUGACAACACCGCUGCCUUGCAUAUUAAUGCUAAUCCGAUUUUUCAUGAACGAACCAAACAUAUUGAGAAGGAUUGUCACUUUAUAUGCAAUGAGAUUAAAUACGGGAACAUCGCAACAGCAUAUGUCUCUACAAAGAUCCAGCUAGCUGCUAUUCUCACGAAAUCUUUGGGAGAGAUUGAGUUCAGCAUGUUUCGGUCCAAGCUGGGCAUUUUGAACCUCCAUGCUCCAGCUUGAGGGGGGGGGGGGUAAUACAAUACUUUAGUAUUGUAUAUUUCCAUAUUUCUUGAUCUCGUAUAUUUGUGUAUAUUAUCUAGUUUCCUAAUGCUUAGAUAUAGAACUUGGCAAUACGUUUUGUAUAUGUACUUCACCUAAGUAUUCUAAUAAAACACAGAAAACAUUCUCUAUUGAUCGACUCUGAAUUUAUCAAGGCAUGAACACAAAAAUAAGCUACAUGGUGACUCCUCACAAGUUUCUAAUCCAUGAACGUAGAUAGAGAAAGAAGAAGUCGUGAGAACGGUCUCCCUCUAUUAUGGAAGUUGAUAGGCCAAGCCCGAGUGCUUCAGAGGAGUUUGUUUUUUACCAGAGACCUUAGUUUAUCAGUAGAUUACCGCUUCUUGAGUACCUUCAUCCAUGGUUAGGUGUUCUGAAUGUUGCAGCCAAGUUGAUUCAGGUCCAAAGAUGCACGUUUCUCGUGGGAACUAUCAAGAACUUGGUCAAGGCGAUUCAGUUACUCAUCUUCACUACAACAUGCGUGACAUGGUUUACAUGUUAGUGCAUACAUCUGAAGGAACGGUAGAUGCAACAAAAGAGAGGAAAGCUCUGAACCAAGAUCACAAGUUGGAAUCUUCUCCCACAGAUUGUAGCGGAGCUCGAUGGGAUAUCUUCAGGCGUCAAGACAAUACAAAGCUCGCUAAGUAUCUGAAAAUGAAAAGGAGAAAAUUUCAGAACUGAGUAUGAAAAUGAAAAUGAAAAUGAAAAUACUUAAAUUAGAGCAUGGGCAUCAGUAGAACUCAGAGAGAAGUCGGUUUCAUUAUACAGCGACACACAAGGUUUAGAUUAGUGUAUCAUUCAAUACUUAAACCAGCAAACAUAAAAUUUAAAAAUAAAAACAGUUUUGAUACAAACCACAAAAGCAUAACACAGUCUCGUUUAUUAUUCGAUUGAUUCGCUGGUGCCCAAGUUGGUAAGAGAUCAGGUUCGGCUACAAAAACAUAAGAACCAAAAAGAAAAAGUCAAUGAGAUUCAGAAGAAAUGUUCGUCUCUAUUAGAAAAAAAGGUGACACGGUAUAUAUAUGGGUAAAUUGGUUUUUAGAAUCUAUUUUGCCAACAAACACUUCAUUUCUCUUUCAGAAAAGAAAAAAAAGUUUUAUCAAAGAGGCUAAAGAGUUUCUAGACGAUUCGUCGAAUACCUUCAAGGGCUUCAUCCAGUUGAUGAACUUGAAAACCAUCAUAAUCUGCAACACAUAGUCACAUAGCAUCAAACAAGUUCCGAUGAAACUAACUAAAAGUGUAGUUUAGACUAUCUCCGAUGUAUUCCACUAUACAUAGAGAAAAAAACACAGUUUCUCUAUAAAUAUAGGAAAAAAUAGAGUUCUCUAUUAUAGAAGAAUACAUUGGAGUAAAAUUUACCUCUAUACUACAUUUCCUCUAUUUUAGAGAUAAAAGUAGGGGAAUAUGCUCUUACGCAACCUAUUCUCCUCCCACACAAAUAGCUGAGAAAAUCAUAAUUUACCUAUUAGUUCCCGAAUUCAUUCAUUAGGUUGGGUUAUCCAUCUAACAGAAGGGAUGUGUUUGACUUUGUAAUAAUCUUCUCCUCCUUCCGACCAUCUAUUCUUCCAUUCCUCUCCCAUAUUAUAAAAACUCAGAUACUUUAAUGAUCGCAGCACAUCAUCAGGAAUCUCCUUUAGUUUCUUGCAAUUCGAAAUAAGAAGAUAAUUGAGAAGUGGCAUGGAGCCUUCUUCUACUAUCCACUCUUCCCACUCAUCUAAUUCAUGAAAAUGUAGUGACUGCAACUGAGGGAACCCACCCCUAGAGCAAACCAUUCUCCUCCCACAUAAAGAAUUUCCAUGCAGACGAACAAUUUUCAAUUGACCAAACUUCUCUAGAAUGGGCAUCGGAUCCUCCUCCAAACGACAGUCACCUAGGACCUGCAGGCUUGUAAGGCUUGAAGGAAAUAGUAAUUCAUCAGAUAACAAUGUAAUACAUAUCACCAAACUCAGCUGUUGGAGAUUAAUGAAUUCGAAUAGACUUCUCCAUUCUUUCGUCCCCUUAGCAGCCCCGUUAAGUGUUAUAUCAAGAGUUUCCACCUAUCGAUGCAGAUAUGGUUUCUAAACUGCUCUCACCAGUUAAUCUGAUUUGAAGAAUCCUCAACAUGGUCAUACCACAAAGAUCCUCUAAACUGCAAUUCUCUGUUGAGAAAUUAGUCAAGGUCUCCAAGUUUACUAGAUGGCUCAAUUCCAACUUUGUCUUCAUAUGCAUAUCAUAUGGUAAUGUAAGGUUUCUCAAUUCUUUCAUCCCCUUCAAGACAUUAGGCACGAAUAUAAACUCUCCAUCCACCUCUAACUUUAGAUAGAUCAGCAACUUUAGAUUUCCUAGAGAAGAGGGUAGAUAAGAUAUGUCCGCACCUUCUAAGCUCAGAUAUCUUAAGUGGGUGAGCUUUCCAAUGCUAGAAGGUAACUUCCUUCCUUUGAAAGUGACUCUAGGGAGAUCUAAUACUCUCAGCACUUGUAACCUUGUAAAGCUUACACAUGAAACUUCACAACCGUUAACAAUGAGAGAUCGAACCUUUGAAUUAUUUAUAUCUCUCUCAACAUGUAAUGCAGACAGUUCAUGUGAGACAAAUCUUCGGGAUGUACUAAUAGACGGGGAGCUGUUACCGACAAUUUGUAGGAAGUUUUCUUCUUUUGCUUUUGACAAACAAAGAUCUCUCAUCAAGUCAUGCAUACGGCAUUUUUCAAAUCUCCAAGUGGUACCGACUCUUUCAGAUAUAACCAUAUUUCUCUUUACCAAUUCUUCUAUGUUGCUAUCUACAACAACUCUAGUGGUUUCUCCAUUGGUACACUUGACUAUUCCUUCUGCAGCCCAGUAAUAGUGCAAUUUUUCGAUACUUAUUUCGUAAUCUUCUGGAAAAUGGGCCAAGUAGAGGAAGCAAUACUUUAAAUGACCAGGCAGCUCUUCAAAGCUCAGAGACAAUACACGGUUCAAUAAAUUGUUGUUGCCAUCAUUGCCUCUUCCAACGAGAUGAGAUUCAAUAUUCUUAGAUACUCGUUCCCAGUAGAGUUCUGUGUAAUUUUCAGCCAACAAUCUUCCUAACACCCUGACAGCCAAAGGCAAUCCCCCACAAUGUUUAAGCAUUCGUCUACCCAUCUCUUCCAUUUCCUUAGCAACUUUCUUCGGUUCUACACAACAUCAUCAAACAAAUAAAAAAUACAUCAUUUAUACCAUGAAAAGAAUUUCAGUUCAGUAUGAUGUAAUAAUGAUAUACUACAAUAAGCUAUUUUAAAGCUAUGUCUACCGAGACAUAGGUGAUCCUCGUUAUGACGAUGGUCUCCGUCUCUGGUUCUCCACCCGCUAAUAUUUUUAAAUUCGGUUUUAUUUUCCAAAUACUUUCUAAUUUUUCAAACCAACUGAAACAUUCUUUGUACACAUGGUUUUUGAUUGAAUAAAAUUUUACAUUCAAUUAAAAAAAAAAGCUAUGUCUUGCGAUCAUCCCUUCUUGAAUGCUUACCAGAUCCAUUCAUCAUUUAUGUGAUCAAAGUCUAUUAAAAACAUAUAUAUCCCUUCAUUUGAAUGCUUACCGGAUGCAUCUUUCAUCGGCAUCGCUAUUCUUUGGAAAAGUGUCCAACUGUUUUCAUCAGAUAGGCAUUCUGGUUUGAAGUUGAUAAAUGGUUCUUCACGUCCAGCGACUCUUUCAUUUCGUGAAGUAAGUAGCACUUUCCAACCUGUACAACUUAAAAAUUAAUAUAACACAGAGAGCAUAAAGAGUGUGAUCUGGAAUUUUAUCUUUCUUUCAUCAUCACCUUUUUUGUGUGGAAAUAUUGGCUUGAUUAGGUUCCAAUCUUCUUCUUUCCAUAUGUCAUCAAUGACAAUUAAUGAUUUUGAUGUUUCCAACAAUCUAGAGAGUUCAUCUUGGAGUCUUUCUUCUUUCAUCUGCAUGAUUUCGUUUUCUUCUGCUUUGGUUCUGAAAUUUUGCAAGAUAUUUUGCCACACAUUCUUCCGAUCACAAACUUGUGAAACACAUACCCACGCAAGUCUAUCAAACUUCUCCGUAACCUUGUCGUGAUGAAAAGCUUGUCUAGCAAGGGUGGUUUUCCCAAGACCACCCAUCCCGGUCAUUAGAACAAUUGGAUCAUUAUCUUCCUCCACCAAAUAUCCAACCAACUUCUCUACGUUUUCUUCCAGCCCCACAAGAUUGCUUUUUUCCUGUCUAGCGAAUUCUUUUCUUUCAGGAAGAGGUUCUGGAUCCCUCAUGUCGCCAAUAAUCUUUUGUACUCCUUGAGUUUCCAUAUCACGAAUCACCUUAGAGAUCCUAUUACUUAAGCUUCCAAUUUCUAAAGCGAUUUCCCUGCGUUCAGGAAUGAUGCAAGCAAGUCUUCUCAUACGUUCCUUGAUGCCACCACUUUUUUGGAGUUGGUCUUUUAGGAUAAAAGUUUCAAGUAUAUCUUCCGCACAGUUCCUCACCCUCGCACUUGUAUGCUUUUUAGCCUCUGCGUCUUGCAUAAAUGACUUUAACAUGCCUAGAUCAGUUUUUAGUUCAUCAACUUGAUCUUUAACUCCCUGAAAUUGUUUGUGUUCAUGGCUCAGUAGGUCCCAAAGCUUUUGUAUUCCAAAUGACAGAAGCUCCGUAGCCAUAGUGCCUUCUGCUUAAAUAGUAUGAAAAUAACAACCAAGUUACUUAGUAUUUGACGAACAUUUAUAAUCACACCAGAUUCACAAGAGCCAAAUAUCACAAGUUCCGUAAGAGGUAUAACAAAGCAAUAUAAGAUUUUCAUAAUUCCAUUAAAGCCUAUAUAAACUAGUGAGUAACCUGUAAGAUCCAAUCAAACUGCCAGAAAUUUAUAUGGAUAUAGACAAGGUUCUUAACCACAUACUUUUUUUUGUCUAUCUUUCUCUUUAUCUAUUCUUUUUUUUUUUGCAGAAAUAUUUUUCUUUUGUUAUGAAAUUAUUAUUUUAUAUAUAGGUGUGAGGAAAGUAAUUAUAUAAGUGUUUGUUUUAUAUUAGUAUAUAUAUAUAUAUAUAUAUAUAUUAUAUUUGUUAUUGGUUAAAAGGGAGAGAAAGUGACGAAGAGGAAAGAGAGUGAAUUAUUAUUACUCUUGCAUUUUGUUGCUUUCGUACACACAUCUUUUUUGGUAGAAGACCCGGGAGUAGACUCCCAAAAGAACUAACCGACCACAAACGAACGUGUCUAGGCCUUGAAAGACCAUCCACAUCGUCCCUCCAAAUAGUCUCCAAUACAUCAUGAACAAAAUCAAAAGUAAAUAAACCUAAAAGCAAAGUAAGGCAUAGUUUGUUAAUCCAGUUUCUCGAUAAAAAGCCAUAACACAAAUAUACUAGGGAUGAUGAUGGGUAGGACUUGCAGAUACCCUUCUUGAAAAACACCACCACCAUUUUGGAAUCAAUCUCCGAUUCCACUCUUAAAACUUGUUUCUCCCUGGCAAUAACAAGUCUAUAGUAGAGAACCCAAACUCUGCUAGAGGUGCAGAACAUCGACCAAUAUUGAGUGCAAAUCCUUCACACCAGUUUCCCUCUCCAUCACGUAGAACACCACCACCAGCUGCCAGCCCUGGAUUGCCACUUGAAGCUCCAUCAGUAUUAAGCUUAUACCAGCCGUUAACAGUUUAUUAUCCUCUAAUGUCUUUAAUUUUUUUUUUCUGUGUUUGGGAGAUUGCAAGCUUGAUUUCUAUGGAAUUUUGGGUGUUCUUUCUACAUUAGUUAUAAUUGAAAUAGUUUUAUUUCUAUAUUUUUAAAUUAAUUAUGAAUAUGAAUUAAAAAAAAAGAUAAAGUAGUAAAUCUAUUAUUGAGAUAGAAUAUUUUUGGCAACCAAUUCAUAUUUAUAUUUAAUUGAAAAAAUGUUGAUCAAAGAAAAAAUAAUAAUAAAUAGUUCUACAUAUAGAGGUCUCGGGUUCGACUUCCAGAUAAUGUGAUUUAUUAAUUAAUUUGCAGAAGAAUGAGAUAAACUUUCUAGAGAUCUAACACGAUGUACAAUUAGAACUGUUCACCGUGAUUCUACGCAUGGUGAAUGAAGUGUCGUUCGUCUAAGGAAAAAGAGUAAUUUGUGAUGAAUCUAUUAGGAUGGGGGAGAAUUAUCUAUAGUAGAAUCCUUAUUUUAAUAAUUCUCAUAAUUUUUAAUAAUCAAUAAUUCAAGAGUUUUAAAAAAACUAGAACUAUAUAGAAUUCAAUCUAGGGGUUAAAACGGAGUAAUGCUUAUUUAGAGAAAAAUAAUUCUUAUUUAGAGUCGAAUUUUCUAAGAAAAAUGAUUCUCAGCUACAUGAAGUAUCCGCCAACACAUUGUUACACAUGUAAACAAUAUAAUUGUCUCGUUAACUACAUGAAGUAUUACUAUCACAUAAGGACAUGCAUAAAUGAUGCAGCGCAUCUUCUUAUUGGGCUUGGUCGUUGCUCUUGUGGGCUUUACGCAAUCGACCAAAUGGGUGUUGAUCUUUUAAUUUCAUUUGAUAUUUUGACAUUGUUUAAAAUAAGGAUGUUAACAUAUCCACCCCUUCUUAGAUUUGGCUUUAUCUUAUUAGUUGGUGUUUAGGGCAUUAUAAACUUUGUUGCGUCUUUGUUUCAACUCAGUUUUUGAUAUUUAUAAGAAAUAAAACCAAAAAGAGGCAAACCUUUGCCCAAAGAGCUUGUGUCAAGCUAGAGAGGAGGACUCUCAAUAUCCUUCUGUUCAUUUGUUACCAUUUCCGCUUACGCCUCUACAUUAUUUGGUAUCAGAUUCAUCUCGUUCUUAGAGAGCAUUUGUGUCAACGUGUAGCCAUGCCUCUAGCCAACAAGAAAGGUGAGGGAGACGACGACCGCCACACGAUGACAACGGCUGAUUGGGCUGAGUUUCGUGAUGCUCUGUUGACAUCAAAAAACAACCUACAAGCAUAUCUCAUGGAUGCUAUGCAAAAUUUAACAGACACGCUUGUUCACAGUCUCGGAGAUCGCCAUCACCGACGAGGGGGAGAAAAUUUUUGGGCCAUGGACAAUCCGUUUGCUCAUGAGGGAGCACAUCGUGGGGAGUUAGUGAAUUUCCGGCAACAAGACAACCAUUCUCAAGAUACACGGUGGAAAGCUAGCUUUCGAGUGGAGAUUCGGGAGUUCCAUGGUGGGAUUCGCGGCGACUCUCUCCUUGAUUGGUUAUUGGUUGUAGAGGAAAUUCUCGAGUUCAAGAAAGUACCAGAGGAUCGCAAGGUUGCCUUAGCUACGACACGGUUUCCCGGACACGCCGCAUCAUGGUGGCAACAUACCAAGGCCACACGCAGCCGUACGGUGAAGGAUUAUAUACAUUCAUGGGAAAAACUGAAGAAGAAACUACGAGCCACGUUCCGACCACACAAUUAUGAUCGCACCAUCUACAACAAGCUACGGAACUUGAAACAGGGGAGUCGAUCCGUAGACGAAUACGUCGAAGAAUUUUAUUUGUUGGUCACUCGCAAUGAUAUUUUUGACAGUCCCAUCCAGUUAGUGUCUCGUUUCAUUGGUGUCUUAAGAGUACAACUACAAAAUGCGAUGUCGCAAUUCGAUCCUACCUCAGUUUCAGAAGCGCACCGUCGCGCUGCAUCCUUUGAGCUCCAAUUUCGUUCACCAUCAUGGUCUAUUCCUUCGGCCAAGACACGACCAUACGACCAGAACACAACCACCACAUCGACCGCGAUAAAAGAAUUUGGAACCGUUAAUGAGGUGACAAACAGAGCAGCUCGGGAGGAACAGCCGCUACGCCGUUCCACUCGACCCAAUGCUCUUCGAUGUUACUCUUGUGGUGAGGCGGGACAUCGUCAAACGACAUGUCUAAACCAAACACGUCGUGGACUGCUCAUGGAUGACGGACAAGAUAACUCACCACCGGUUUUUGAUUAGGAAGAAGAUGGAAGAGACGAGGACAACGUGGAAGGUCUUCACACAGCUGGCGACACGGGAAGGUUGUUAGUAGCACGGCGGCUCUGUAUAGCACCACCCAGUUGGACAGAGUCUUGGCUGAGACACAACAUCAUUUGCUCAUCGUGUAUAAUCCAAGACCGUGUGUGCACGUUCAUUAUCGAUUCGGGUAGUUCGAGGAAUAUUAUGGCGGAGUAUGUUGUGCAGAAGUUGAACAUCCCGGCUGAACCACAUCAUACUCCUUACUCGCUUGGUUGGAUGCAAGAUGGCGUCGAUAUUCACAUCACUCAUCGAGCUUUGGUCGCUUUUACUAUUGGUCAUCACUACAAGGACCGUUUCUGUUUUGAUGUUGCUCCUAUUGAUGUGAGUCACCUAAAUUUUGGUCGACCUUGGGAAUUUGACCGAAAGAUUUUCCAUGACGGAGCCAAGAAUACUUACAGCUUCUACUGGGAGACAUAUCACAUUGUUUUGCUGCCAACUCUAGAGACUCCUCUAUCCGUGACGCCUCCACCACAGGCAGCAUCUUCGACACUGUUCAUUUCCGUAGCUGCCUUUGACAAUGAGUUCAAACAAGAGGGAAGAUCGCCUUUGCUCUUUUGCUUCACCGCUGUGUGCGACGUCCUUCCAAACCAUUUCAUCAUAUGACUCCGUGCUGCGCGAGUUCACUGACAUCUUUCCAGAAGAGCUACCGCCGGGUCUCCCUCCCCUCUGGAUAUUCAGCAUCAAAUCGACUUGACUCCAGGUGUAGCUCUACCGAAUUGUGCUCACUACAGAAUGAGCCCUCAAGAACACGAGGAGCUCCGACGUCAAGUAGAAGAGUUGCUGCGCAAAGGGCACAUUCGCGAGAGUCUUAGUCCUUGCGCCGUCCCAGCGUUGCUAAUUCCAAAAAAAAGAUGGUUUGUGGCGAAUGUGUGUGGAUAGCCGGGAAAUUAACAAUAUCACAGUCCGCUACCAGUUUCCUAUUCCACGCCUUGACGACUUGCUGGAUCAAAUUGGAAUGGCCUCUAUUUUUUUGAAGAUUGAUAUUAAGAGUGGCUACCAUCAAAUCCGUAUCCGCCCCGGGGAUGAAUGGAAAAUGGCGUUCAAAACAAGAGAAGGACUUUUCAAAUGGUUGGUCAUGCCGUUCGGGCUUUCCAACGCGCCUAGUACCUUUAUGCGUAUCAUGAAUCAAGCACUACGGCCGUUCAUCGGGAAGUUUGUAGUGGUAUACUUUGACGAUAUUCUGAUCUUUCGUUCUUCCGCCGCUGCCCAUUCUUCCCAUUUGCGUGAGGUGUUGUGUGUUUUCCGGCGUAAAGAACUCUUUGCGGCUAAACGAAAAUGCGAGUUCGGCGUCAUACGUCUUGUUCUUGGGCUAUGUUGUCUCGGACAAGGGUUUGUCCAUGGAUGAAUCCAAGAUUGAAGCUGUGAGGUCAUGGCCAACACCGCAGACAGUCACCAAAGUCCGGAAUUUCCAUGGGCUUGCGUCUUUUAAUAGACGUUUUGUACCUCAUUUCAGUGCGGUCAUGGCACCUAUCACUAGUUGUAUGAAAGACGGCAAAUUCGAGUGGUCUUCUGACGCGGAUAACGCGUUCAUCAAGAUCAAGGAGCUGCUCACGUCCGCUCCUAUAUUGGUACUGCUGGAUUUUUCUCUUCCAUUUGAGCUGCAUUGUGAUGCAAAGCUGGGUAUUGGCGCGGUUUUGAGCCAACAAGGCCGUCCAAUCACAUAUUUUAGUGAGAAGUUAGCCGGAGCGCGAGGCCGUUACAGUACUUACGAUGCAGAGUUUUAUGCGGUGGUGCAAGCUAUCAAACAUUGGCGACAUUACUUGGUUCACCGGGAGUUUGUCUUGUUUACGGACCAUGAUGCUCUACGCCAUUUGGAUAGCCAAGCAAAGGUGUCUUCCCGUCACGCCUCAUGGAUUGCAUUUCUUCAGCAAUUUACCUUCUCUAUACGAUACCAAUCAGGCAAAACAAACCGUAUAGCUGAUGCAUUAAGUCGUCGCCACACCUUACUCACUACGAUGCACACGUCGGUAACCGGGUUCUCCAAAUUUGCUGACUUGUAUGGAACUGAUCUGUACUUUGCUCCUCAUCUCGUUGACAUUCGCCAAGGCCUACAUUCUAAAUUCACUAUGCACGACGAUUUUAUCUUCUAUGGUGCUCGGUUGUGUGUUCCAGCUUGUAGCUUGCGGGUCAAGAUUAUUGGAGAAUUAUACAAUGAAGGUAGUCAUGGCAUCAUAUUUUUGGCCUACUCUUCGUAGGGAUGUUGAACGGUUUGUGGAGAGGUGUCGAGUUUGCCAACAAGGAAAGGGUAAGGCGUUGAACUCUGGUUUGUACUUACCGUUGCCCGUUCCCACCCAGCCGUGGACCGAUGUUGUAAUGUCCCUAACCGUGGCCUAAUAUUCAGAUGGAAUGGUCAAAGAAUGGCUAUCAAAGGAAAAUGGAUCAAGGGAAUGGAUAAUUAAUUUUUGGGCUUGAGCCAAAGUAUUCUUAGAUGAAUACAAAGCUUUUGAUCGAAGAUAAAUGGAAGUCAGACGAUGAAAAUCAUAUUUCAUACGACAAUGAAGUUUCUGGCCGAAGGAGUUUCGAGUGUGAACGCGAUCACAAGCAUAUCAUUUCGUUUGCAUCCGCAAGCUAGUAGGUUGGUAGGCAAGCUACUGCACUAUUAUGGAUAAGAACAAUAAAUGGAUAACCAUGAAGUUUAGGAUAAGCAUCAACAUUUGGAUAAGGAUAGAAAUAAAAAUAAGCUAAAUCAAGCCUAUCAAUGCCACCUCGUUGUCACGGACUUGAUCUUUGGUGAUCAAACCGUGCAGCCCUAGACCCUCUUUGUCUCGAACAAAUGGACUAGGUAGCCUAACUCUCCCAAAAUUUCCGACCCUUUGUGAUAAAAGAACCCGGAAAGAACGAGAAAAGACAAGUGAUUACUGAAUUGCUCUAGUAUUGAUAAAAAUGCUGGAUGAUUACAAAUGAGGGAUCUCACCGCUAUUUAUACAAAACACCUCCUCAAUGGACGGUAGAGAUUAAAGCGAUAUAAUGGCCGAUAUUGAAGAUAUCGUCAUAAAUACAAGGAUUUGGCUUGGUGACAAAGUCUUCUGAGAAUCCUCUCCAAGUCUUUCCUUAAGUGGCUUCGAAGCUCUUCAACGAAAAAGGCUGAAAAAUGCUAAGUGUUCGGUGGGCUUUCUCCAUAGUCCGGCCCGUAUGUGUGUUCAAGUAAAUGGGACGUCACCUCGUGCUUCCAUAGCUUCCUCCCCAAGUAACCAUGUCCUAUAAAUACCCCCUCUCCUUUUCAUUUGUUCUUCACACCAAAAACCAACAAAAACUUUCCCAAGUGAGUAAGUGUCCGAGCUGGUCCGUGGUAGUAUCCGAGUAGGAUCGCCGAGAGUCUAGAGUCCUUAGUAGUCAAGCCAAGGUAAGUUCCGAAGCGUGUGAGGUAGCACACGACUAGGAUUAUUUUAAGUAUUUAUUUAAGAUAAUUAAUUCUUUAUUUAUUUAUUUAUUAAUUAAUAUUUAGCAUGAGGUUAGGGACUAUUAUAUUGGCAUUAUUUGUGGUAAUGGUGAACUGUUCUUGAUUGAUGAUUGUGUGAUAGUAUAACUUCGCGAUAGAUAACUGUAAUGCUAGCAUUUAUGGGCAUAACCGUUAUGCUGUCAGAUUGUUAUAUUAUUUGGUUGUUGGUUAUGCUUUGAUUAGAUAUCUAGCACUAGUCGGAUCGUGCUAUCCUCGUUGUAUAUGAUACGUUAGGUAAUGUGAUUAUAUACGAAGGCUCGAGGAUGUGUCACGACAGACCGGGCAGCUACAUAACGAUGUAGAGUGAAGGGAUGACAGAUCUUCUAUAGACUUUGUGUCUAGAAGUGUAGGGCAUUGCCUUGGGGAUAUCAUGGAUUCGUAGGGGCCCAAAGUAGGAUCGAGAUGAGGUAUAUUACUUGCAUUUUGGUUUAGUGCUUAUGGCUUCUAAGCCAUAAUGCUUAUUGAUCGCCAUUGCUUGUGAUUGGGGGUUGGGUUGGGUUAUUUUAGAGAUCCCGGACUUACAGAGUAAUCUAAGUUUACUCAAGAUUCUACCAAUUUGUUUUGCAGGUAACCAGUAGUGGGAAAACGUUAAGGGAAAAGGACGUUAGGCUAACCGGUGUAGAUUUCCUUGCCUUUGUAAGAUGUAGUUUUGUGUAUAAUACAUAUGACUCUAUUUUCCCGAUACUAAUAAAGUGAUGCUUUUAUAAACACCGUGUCUCCCAUGAUAUUAUUAGUCUUGUCCAGACUAGCACAACUCGGGUUCGCGGUACGGGUUCAUAGCCAUAGGCCGUGAUUGUGAGGAACGACUCCUGCGGUUGGGCUAGAACGGGUCGGGGGUGUUAUAGAUGUUAGCAUGGACUUUGUUUUGGGCCUUCCCCGGCCCCAACGAGGGCACGAUUCUAUCCUUAUGGUGGUGGACCGAUUCUCAAAAAUGGCCCAUUUCACCCCCUGCAAGAAGACUACCGACGCAGUUAGUGUCUCUAAUUUUUUCUUCCGUGAGAUCUACCGCCUACACGGGCAUCCGUCGUCCAUAGUUUCUGAUCGGGAUUCCCGUUUUCGUAGCCAUUUUUGGAGGUGUCUUUGGAAGUUGUUGCGUACUAGUCUCGCCAUGAACACUGCCUAUCAUCCUCAAACGGAUGGUUAGACGGAAGUUAUUAAUCGUUCUGUGGGCGAUUUACUUUGUUGUUUAGGUUGUGAUAAUAUCAAGAGUUGGGAUGCUAAGUUGUGUCAAGCUAAGUUCGCUUAUAAUCAUGCCGUGAACCGCAGCGUAGGCAUGAGUCCUUUUCAAGUGAUUUGUGGUGUUGUUCCUCGCUAUUUAUUGGACCUUGCUCCUCUACCGGAUGAUAUUCAUUUGCAUGGCCAGGCAGAAGAUUUUGUGGCAAGCUUAAAGGAUGUCCAUACGCAACAAUUUGGAGACGUCUGUCGCUAAGUACAAGGCUGCUGCUGAUCAUAAGCUGUGUGAGGUAGUUUUUGAAGUUGGUGAUCUUGUGUGGGUUGUUUUGACAAAGGACCGUAUGCCUCUUCGGGAGUAUAAUAAGCUGAAGUCGCGGAAGAUUGGACCGGUCGAAAUUGUCGCCCGCAAAAAUGCUAAUGCUUAUCGAGUAACUCUUCCUUCUCACCUCAAGACGUCGGAUGUGUUUAACGUCAAGUUCCAGUCUCCUUUCCACGGGGACAACGACGGCUUGGAUUCGUGGUCGAAUCCUUCCGCACGGGGAGGGACCUGAUGCAGCGCAUCUUCUUAUCAGGCUUGGUCGUUACUCUUGUGGGCUUUACGCAAUCGACCAAAUGGGUGUUGAUCUUUUGAUUUCAUUUGAUAUUUUGACAUUGUUUUAAAAUAAGGAUAUUAACAUAUCCAUCCCUUCUUAGAUUUGGCUUUAUCUUAUUAGUUGGUGUUUAGGGCUUUAUAAACUUUGUUGCGUCUUUGUUUCGAGUCAAUUUUUGAUAUUUAUAAGAAAAAAAAACCAAAAAGAGGCACACCUUUGCCCAAAGAGCUUGUGUCAAGCUAGAGAGGAGGACUCUCAAUAUCCUUUUGUUCAUUUGUUACCAUUUCCGCUUACGCCUCUACAUUAAUAAACAAACAUGAUUAUGUGUACAACACCAUAACCAUCCAUUUCCGAUGAAUUUUUCGCCGGAAUCCGACCGACUGAAACAUGUAUUUUUGUACCCUUGGAGUUCAAUUCCCCAAUGCGAUGUAGCAUAAGAGGUUAUCGAUCCAAAUGGAUGUAUUGCAAGCAAUCAAGAUAUAUCAGAUCUAAUCAAGUCAAGCCAAGUAAUUUAAGGUUUGGUUUAAAGAACUCUAAUGCAUAAAAGAAAACUAAAGAAACCAAUAUUGAAAGCAAUAAGUAAAAGCCGGUAAUCAAUCAGAUAGCAAAGGGUCUUAAGGAUGGGCUAAUGGGGUGAUGAAUCCUCUUAGUAUCUUUGGGAUGCUUAACAUGCUCAGAUAGAUCUAAUCCUAGACAAUGAACCACUUAACCUAAUCUGUCCAAUCUCUUGGCAAAGAUUAUCAGAUCUAUAGCACUUCCUAAUCUCAACUUUCAUUGAUGAAACAUACAUUAAAUAGGCAUAAAGAACAAGCUCAUUAAUGUCAAUCUACUCCUUAACAACCAAUCUCUUGGGUAAGUAAAUAGAUCUCUGGCAUUAGUUGAUCAGACAUUCCAUUUGAACACUUUUUUAGUGCUGGAAUGUCUAAGAUCUAAUCCCACAUGGUUAAUGCUAAGAUAGCAUUAAGAUCUCCUAAUCCAGAAGGUAUCUAUCUAAAUCUAUACUUAAGCAACCCUAGAAACUAAGAUUCCUCAUCACCUAACCCAUCCUCUAAACCCAGAAAAACUACUCAGAUCUGGUGUUCAUCAUGAAGAACACAAACCCAGAAAUCUUUGAAUCUUGCAUAACUAGAUAGAUAAUGAUCUAAGGAGCAAGAUAUUGUAAAGAAACAACUCCAAAUUCUCAAUAGAUCAAAAGAUAUAAAGAUUACAAGUUUCUGAAAAUGUUUGGUGGCUACAGAGAAAAACCCUAAUGAAAACUCGUUUUUGGCUUAAUGACCCAAGAGGUCUAUUUAUACUAAAGGCAGGAAGCCCUAAAACACAAAAAGACAAAUUACAAAGUCGGUUUAAAGAGAGCUCGGUCGGGUGCUUGUUGGGCUCGUUCGGGUCCUCUCUUGGCUCAUCCGUGUUCAGCUUCCUCUUGUGAGUCCGGGUGCUCGAUCGUGCUCGCUUGGUCGGGCUGGACACACUCGAUCGGGUCCAUGCUUUGCAUUGUCCGAGUGUACCUGUUUUUUCUCUAAAAUGCAGAUGAUAUGCAAAUCUCUAUGCUAAAGAUCCUAGAUGCGAAAUAUAAUGCAAAGGGACUAGAAAUCCUGAGAAGUAGAGACCUAGACAUCCAAAUAAUGCACAAAACAUAUGCUUAAGAGUAUAAAAAUAUAGGGUUAUCAACUCCCCAAACUUAUUCUUUGCUUAGCCUCAAGCAAAUUCAAAGUAGGGAGAGAGGUUUGAAGGUGGGGACUCAGAACCAAAACUUGCUGCAAAAGAGUUUAACAUCAAUAUCCUAGUUCGUAAUUCUAGAAUGCAAUUCAAAGGCUGUACUCUGAAGACAUUAGCCAUUCCUAUUUCAACACGAUGUCACCAGCCACAUAACCUAGACAAGCAAUCAAGUCAGCCAUCCUUUUUAACAUUCAUUAAGUAGCAACAGUGAAUCUGGAUGUGAAUUUGAAUUUAAACUCAUUUGGCUAGGCAAGUAAAAGGUUUAAGAGAUAAAGAGAGUCUCUCUUUUGUGAGGGUUUAAUCGUUUAAGUGCUAGGAUCUCUCAAUGAACAAGAUUGAGCUUUUGGGAGAUUGCUAAAGGUAAGGACCAACAAAUGCAUACAAGAAUAACAUCUUGACUACCCAAAGUACCUAAGUGAUAUCCUAAUUAUCUAAACCCAUAUGAUCCUAUUCUACCCUUUAACUCUUUUCAUCCCAAUUUCCCAUUUUGUUCUAAGUCUAAGGAGAGUUUCUUAUGAUAAACUAGUGGAUAGGGGGUUCCUUUAUAAACACUAUGGUUCUCUUUCUUCUUAAUACUUAAGACAUCAAAGCAUUUUGCUAUCUUUACACUUUUCUCUCUUUCUUUUUAAAAAAUCAGAACCAUUUCUUUUAUAUACUUUGCAUUCCCCACUUAUCUUUCACUAGGACCUUGAACUUUUCUGAAACUUUUACUUUCCUAAAGACUCGACUCAUUCCCCUAUUCUUUUCUUUUCUUUUCUUUUCUUUUCACCAAUCCAACAAAUCCCAAAACCCAAGUAGAAUCCAUCCUAGUCCUAUCUGAUCCGAAAGAUGCAAAUCAGAACUACUCAAGACCAUAUUCCUGUCGGCUCAAACCUAACACGUUCUCUUAAAGCUCAAUCCCAAAAGGCCUUCCACUCAGAAUUAAAACAAAGGCUUGAAGGAAUGGUUAAGGUUUUUAGGGUGUGGUUAACUGGUCAAGGUUAUGACCAGCUACUUGGAUCAACAAGAGGGUGGUAAAAAGAGGGAAAGAAGAUCCAAGUAUGUAUAAAAGGUAUCCAUGAGUUUAAAACAAAUCACAACCAGAUAAUUAACAAUUCAAGUUAAGGUUCUUAUAAAUAAAGGAUGGCAUCAUAUCAAAGCAAGCUUCAGUUUAGACUAGAAUUCAAAUCAUGAGAUCAAAGAAUGGUGCAGUCUCAUUUCAAACUCAAAUGAAAGCAUUGAACAACUAUGAACUAGGGCAUUGGUGUUAAAUCUAAUGAAACAGCAAGUUCUUUGGUUAUAAUCAUCAUAAUCCCCUAUGCUAAUGUAAUGAUCCUAAAUGCAACAACCUUAAAGCAAGACUAAUAUGCAAAUGCAACUAUAUGAACACUCUGUUUUUAAAGGAAUUUCUGAAAAAUUUUCAAAAUUUUAGGGGUUUUUGAUGCACAUAGAUGAAUGCAAAACUAGAUGCUAAAAAUUCGAAAUAAGAAAAUAUAAAACAUGUCAAAUGCUAUCCUAAGCUCUCCCCCAAACUUAAAUUACACAGUCCCUUGUGUAAUAAAAAUCUGAAGGAAGGCUUAGGAUCGAAAAGAAAAUAUAAAAAUGCAAGGCUGUAUUUACAAAGUUGAGGGUAAUAGAAUUACCUCUUGGGUGGUCCAAACCACGAGCUCAGGACGUCGGGGUACGCUGCUACAUGCUCGUCCUGGAUAUUUUCGGCGUCGACUGCAAGGUGAUAGGCUGACCCGACCGGGCGUGAAGAACCGGCCCGAUCGGGUGUGCGUUCGGGUGAGGCGCUCGAGUCAGCUCCCGGUUCCCUUCUGGUUCUGAACAGACUUCUCCUCGGAUCAAAUGAGGCUCUAGGCGGGCUAACUGGUAGGUUGGACCUGGUAGGUGUCCUGACUGAUGCAUUCCCCCCCCCCCCAAACCACUAGGCAUGGCUGUAGUGGAGGUUGACCAUCCAACCUUGUUCUGAAGUUCAUUAAUCUGCUCCCCCAUAUCCUAAACUGUUCCGGCAAGAUCCUUCACAGUGUUUUUCAAUGCCUUGAUAGUCUUGCUCUGGAACUUGUUCCACUUCUGAAGGAUGCUAAUCUUUUUGUGAGCUUCUUUUACCCCCCUUGACUGCCUAGAGGACUCUCCACUCAUCAAAAUAGAAGUCCUCCUCCUGCUCUUCCCUAUAAGGUUCUUCUUCUCUGACCUCAGGUGCAUAGGUUUGUUGGGCUGGCUCGAAGCUAGGAAUUGGGUCUUGGACUGAGUUCGGGUCAUAUAAUGCUGAGACGGGUGGCCAAAAGUUGAUAUUAGCACCCAAUCUGAUCUUUGUAAGCUCGGUGUUAGGCAACAUCAUUCUUGCUACUCCAAGUGAAGGGUGAGUGAACUUAUAUAAGUAAAACCCGUUGGGACGCUCGCUAUCAAGGAAGUGCGUCCUUGUUGAAGUCUCAAUGUCGAUCCAGCGAGCGUUGUAAACCUUCCCCCGUAAUUCCACUCACAAGCUACCAAUAACGGGGUGACUAGUCCACCAAUACUGAGCUCUCCUUGCACACCUCUCCUAACAGCCUUUAAUACCCAAUCUUUGCAAUACAUCAGCUGGUCUAAUAGAACCGAGACCAUGCUACCAUCUGUUCUAUCUCCUACUAGUUCUCUACCAUCCCUAGUACUUGGCAAUACACCACUCAAUGCUAUAUCUAUGAGCUGGAUCUCACUCUCAUUCACAUUCCCGGUUUCCUUUUUAGGAAAAAUCGUACUAGCCAAGGACUUAUGGAAAUACCUCACAGCUGGAUUGCUGAUUUGGGCGCUCUUGGAUUUCGAAGAAGUGUAUUCCUUCCCAUCUCCAAUUGUUUUCCAAACAGACUUGAUCUCCUCCUUAAGCACAUCUUGGCUCAUCGCGCUUGCUUGCAAGAACCCAUAGAGCUUCUCAACUUCCUUAAACGUGAGAGAAUAUGUAGUGCCCCUCACGCCGAAGGUGAUGUAUCCAAGGCAGUCAUCUGAGUGAAACUCGGUUUCAUCCUCGUAGAAAUGGAGCUGAAGUGAAGCUAACACGUAGCACGUCUCCUCGUCGUUGGCUUCCAAGUUUCUGGUCAUGAAUGAGCCAAGGCCGCUUCUCUCGAACAGAAACUCAACAUCUCUUGCUAUCCCCAGCUCCUUCAUCGUUUGCCGGUGAGGAUAACGAGUUCCAACAAACUUGUGGCGCCUAAACAUUGCAUAAAGCUCUUCUGGAGGGGGCAAGUUCUUGGUCUUACUUGGAGCCACUACCCUCCUAGGCUCCAUAUCCACCAUCGGUUCAUCAACAUCUUCUUCUGCAGGUCUCUUCCCCAUCGAAACUUCUUCUUUGGAAAUCGGGUGGGUCUGACCUGAUCGACUGGCCCGAUCGGGUGAUCGGGUUCGUGCUCGGGCUUUUCUUCUCCCAGAUAAUAAGAACACAAGGUUCAAUUACACAAACAAACCCCAGAAGAUGUGAAGAAUCAAGGCAAGAUUAACAACAAACCAGAGAAUGAGAUGAACAAGGAGCAAAUGAAAUCAAACCCAGAAAUUUUAUCAACCAAGAAUCUAGAGAGAAGGAAGAGAGAAUUCUAGAGAGAUAACUGAAUUUUUAGCAAAAUGAGAGAGUGAGAGAGGUUUUGGUCUAGUUUAGGUGGUAUAAAGAGGGUAAGAGGGGACAAAAAUCUGAAAGCGGAGCGUUUUUGGUCGGGCUUGGUUCAAAAUUUAAAUUUCAAAUCGAGUUGACUAUUGACCCGACCGUUACCUUUGACGCAAUCGGACGGCUGAGAUGAACCCGAUCGGGUGGCUUAGAUUGACUCGACCGGAUGGUCGAGAUUGACCCGAUCGAAUCGCGUUGACCCGACCGUGUGGGUGUUGACUCGACCAAAUAUACUUUUUCUUUUCAUUUUUUCAAUUAUUUUUACUUUGUAUUCAAAUGUGGGGUUUUAAUUAUUUUCUAGAUAUAUACUUUUAUGUAAAUAAUAUUUUAAUUAUAUUUCUUCUUUUUCCCUUAUAAAAAAUAUAUAUUUGCCGAUGCUAUAAAAAUAUUUGAAAUGCCAUAAUCUCAUAACUAUUGUAUCUAUAUUAACAUUUUUGAAGUACCUUUUGGAAAAUAACCUUUUAUUUUGUAUUAUUUGCAUAAUAAAUCCUUGCCAUUUAAAUAAUUAACAAAAUNNNNNNNNNNNNNNNNNNNNNNNNNNNNNNNNNNNNNNNNNNNNNNNNNNNNNNNNNNNNNNNNNNNNNNNNNNNNNNNNNNNNNNNNNNNNNNNNNNNNCCAUUAUAAAUAUGACUAAUAUGAAACUUAAAAUCCAAAAUCUUGAAUGGAAGAUUACAACAAUAAGUUUACUAAUUUAGGGAAUCCAAUUUAAUAUUGAUUGGUUAAAAUGAGUUUUGGAAACAAAAAUCUCUCUCGAAAUCUAUAAAUUAUUCAAGGUUUAUAUUUACAUAAAUAUGAUUUAACGGGUUUGAGUUAUAUGUUUUUCUUACGAGUUAUCUUAUGGGUUAACAAAACAAAAUAACAAAUAUAACUUAAACAUAAUUUUUUAGUCCCACGAGUUAUAAAAAAAUAUCCCGCGAGUUAAGUAAUAAAAAUAACAAUCAAAAAUACAGUUACACAAUCUUAAACACUAAAAAGGUAAUAAAAUUAACAAAUAUAACUUACAUAUAUAUUUUGUUUAGUCAAAACAAUCGUCUCGCGGUGUACCGUGGGUUAAAACCUAGUAUAAAUAAAAAUUCAAAACAUAUUUAAAACCCCGGCCUACGACUUUACAAAAGAAAAAAAUGAUUUUUUAAUAUUUUGUUAUAUUACUAUAUAUAUAUAACUAAAUUUACCACGUAAAAAUUUUGUGGUAUACUUUCUUUACUUGGUAUAUUUUUUUUUGUAUUACCAAAAUUGUAUAACCAAAUAUUUCACAAAAUUUAUUGAGAAACUGAUAUCAAUAACCUUUUUAUGAUACCCUCUUUUAAAAAUACCCUCUUUUUUGCAAUUUUCAUUUUUGCCUUCUCUUAAAUUUUAAUGGCCAUUUUACCCCUAGUUGAAAGAAUAUUCUUUCCCAAAGGAAGGAAUAUUCCUUUCAAAAAAAUUUCCCCCAAAAAUUUCCCGCCAAAAAAAUUUCCGAGUAAAAAUUUCCCGCCAAAAAAUUUCCGCAAAAAUUUUCCCCCAAAAACAAAAUAUUUUUACAAAAUUUUCCCGCCAUAUAUUUUAAAGGGUUUACAAGUUUUUUAAAGGGUCUUUUAAAGGUUUUAAAGGGAUUUACAAGAGUUUUUAAAUGGUUUUCAUAAGAUUUGUAAUGGUUUUUAAAUGAUUUACAAUGGUUUUUAAAAGUUUUUAUAAGUUUAUAACAGUUUUAAAAGGAUUUAAAGGAUUUUUAAAGGAUUUAAAUAUUUACAAGGAUUUUUAAAGGUUUUUAAAAAGGAUUUACAAGUGUUUUAAAAAGGAUUUACAAGUGUAUUUAAAGGCAUACAAAGAUUUAAAAAUAGUUUUAAAGGACUUACAAGGGAUUUUAAAGAAUUUUAGAAGUUUACAAAGGUUUUUAAAGGGUUUACAAAACUUUUUAAAUGUAUUACAAGUUCUUUAAAAUGGUUUUUAAGGAUUUACAAGGGUUUAGAAAGGGAUCUAGAAGUUUAUAAAAUCUUUUAUUAAAUGAUUUAUCACGGUUAUAAGGGGUUUGAAGGGAUUUACAAGUGUUUAUAAAUGUUAUAAAAAGGGUAAUUUAGUCAUUUUGUACAUAGAAGAGUGUAUUUUUGAAAAUGGACACCUAGAGAGGGUACUUAUAGAAAAGGGUAUCUAUCAUAAAAAUGUUAGUUGUGUGAAUCCCCCAAAUUUAUUUGGUACUAGUCGGUUGCCCGCGCUACGCGCGGGAAUUUAUUAUGUUGUAUAUGAGUAAUUGAUUUGUAUUUUAUUUUCUACUUCUUUUUUCACUAUACCAUACUUUACUUUUUUAAAACUUAGAUUGUGUUUGUAUAGAAAAACUAUUGAGUUUUAGCCUCAUUAGUUGUUGAGAAAUUAAGUGUGUAUAAUAUAAGUCGAAGUGUGGGCGUAAACGGAAAUGCGGUGAAAAAUUAUUGAGAAACGUGUGCUAUUAGGGUUUCUACCAAAUAUAGAUCUAGAUGUUAAUAUUUUGUGCCUUUUAUAUGUUGGCAUGAAAUUUGAACAUGAUUUGUGGGUUUCGGGCGGAUUGUUAUAUUUUUAAUUGUUUACAUUAUCUCUUUAUAUAUUGUCAUAAUUUUAUUUUUUUAUGUUAUUCAUUUUUUGAUUUGUCGUAAUUAUAUCUCGUAAUGAUCAUUUUUAUACUAUUAUAUAUUUGUUUCUGAUUUUAUGUUAUAUAUAUAUAUAUUUUAUUUUUUCAUAUGGAACAAUUUUUAAAUUUAACAUAUCAGUAUAAUUUACUUUAUAUUUAGUUUAUUUCAUUUAAUACUGUCUUUUGUUAAUUUUCAAUUUUUAUGAAAUAUUGUUAAUUUUUUACUCUUUUAUUAGUUUAACAUAUGUGUUGUAUUGGAAAAAAUUAGUUAAAUUCAUAUUGGAAACCUUUAAAAAAUAUUAUUUUUAUUUUCACGUUUUUAUACGUUUAAAAAAAAUGAGAAUUGAUGUUUCGGUCCGACCUAUCUCAUUUAUGUUAGAAAUUUUUGUGAGACAUAAAUUACAUAGAUUUAUAUUCUCAAAAUUUCUUACUUUCUUUACUAUUCUCGUUAAAUCCCAUAAUAUUUGGGUUUACAUUGUGUAAAUAUAAUCAUAUAUAUUUCUUAGUAUAAUCGAUAAUUAGUAAGUUUUUUUAACUUUUAAACAAAUCAUCUUUUUAGUUUUAUAAUGUAUAAUAUAGAAAAAACCUUUGAUAUUCCUUUUUGAAAAACUUAUUUACAUAAGUUUAAAUCUUAAAAUUAAAUGAUAAAAUGGUAUAAUUAAUUUUAAAAAUUAAAUAAUAAAAUGAGGUGGAUGAUGAUGUGGCAUAAGGAGAAGAGAGAAAAAGUUAACUUUAUAUAUAUAGAUAUAAGUUUUGAAUUUUAAUGUGAGAUAAAAAAAAUUACUUUUAUAAUAUGUUUUGAUAUUUGUUUUGUAAAAUUAUGUAGUAUAUUUACCUAUUUAUCAAAAAUAGUUAAAAUAAAAAAUAAAAUAAUUAUGGAUUUUUUUUUUGAAUUUUUUGUUGGUCAUCGUCGGUUAGGCAUGACGAUGGUUACGGUUUAUUAACCACCGGUUAUGGUUAUAAAUAUUUUUUAACCAUAACCUUAACUUUUAUAUAUACGGUUACAACGGUUAUAGUUAAGGAAAACGGGGAAAAUCAACCCAAACUAUUUCUCGAAGGUAUUUUCAUACCCAAACUCGCGUACUCUGAAUUUUACAACCCAAACCAGGUUUCAAUUCAAAUAACCCACCUGAACCACAUCAAAUUUUGUCGAUUUCAACCUCGACGUUAAUAGUAUCCCUGCCCAUCUUGAAGAUUUGGACAAUCAAGCUUAAGCUUCUGUAAAAACCAAGAGAAAUUAAGCUUAAGCUUAAGCUUAAUUGUCCAAAUCUUCAAGAUGGGCAGGGAUACUGUUAACGUCGAGGUUGAAAUUGACAAAAUUUGAUAUAGUUCUAGUUGGUUAUUUGAAUUGAAAGCUAGUUUGGGUUGUAAAAUUCAGAGUACGCGAGUUUGGGUAUGAAAAUACAUUUGGGAAAUAGUUAUGGUUAUAUACAGUUACGGUUAAAUCCGGUUACGGUUAUUUGAUGUUUAUGAUAUAAAUAAUAUUAAAGGCAAAAUUUUAUAUUUUCUUACCAUAUCAAAUAAUGUUUAUUUAUAAAUAUGAAAUAUAUGUAAUUAUAUUAUUCAAAUAUUUAUAGUACAUUAGUUAAAGAAAUGAUUUUUGUUUAAUCAAAUACAACUACAGAUAUAUAAACUAAUGGUUAUGAACCUACAAAUAUUUAAAUUAAAUUAUUUUUGAUUUGAUUAAUGGAAAUGAGUAGUGGAAUGGAUUAGGGUUACUAGUUGACAUAUUUAACCAUUUUGUUUUUUGUCAUCAACAUAUUUAACCAUUUAAAACAUUGUUUUAAUGAGAUAAUUUUUAGAUAAAUUAUCUCUAAUAACCUUUUUAUCAUACCCUUUUGCAAAAUUAUCCUCUUUUUUUGUCAUAAUCAUUUUUGCCCUCUCUUAAAUUUUAGUGACCAUUUUACCUCUAGUUGAAAAAAUAUUCUUUCCUUUGAACGGAAUAUUCUUUCCAAAAAUUUUCCCGCCAAAAUAUUUUCCUACCAAAAUUUAUAAAUGUUAUAAAAUGAUUUACAAAGGUUUUAAAAGGUUUACUAAAGUUUUUGAAGGUUUUGAAUGACUUUUAAAAGAUUUACAAGGGUUUUAAAAAGAGUUUUUAAGGUUUUAAAAAUAUUUACAAGGUUUUUUAAGGAAAUGCGGAAAAAUUAUGGCUGAAAAUUUGGCGGUAAAAUGUUUUGGCGGAAAAAAAUUUGUCGGAAAUUUUUGGGGGGAAAAUUUUCGGAAGGAAUAUUCUUUUUGUUGGAAUUUGGAAAUAAUAUUCCUAUCUUCAUCAUGUGAUAUAUUAAAGGAGGCUGAUUUAGUUAUUUUGUACACGGAAGAAGGUAUUUUCUAAAUGAACACCAAAAGAAGGUAUUCUUACAAAAGGGUAACCUAAAAAAGUUAUUUGUGCAAAUCCCCCUUGUGGGAGCUGAAAUCCACGAACUGAAAACGGAGUGAACUCGAGUGGGCUCCUAAUUCCCUGUCCGAACUCGUGAACAGAAUUGCGAAAUGAUUGAGAGAAAAUUGCUUAGUUUUAUUUAGUAUCUUUUGUCAAAAAUCCGACCCCUUUACACUUUGUUUUUCCUCCUACUUAUACUACUCUGGCAAGCAUUGAACGCGCAGCGAACUCCGCUCCGCGAAUCGCGCCAUUCUCAUUAAGGCGCCGCUUGACCCGCUGAUAGCCCGUUUUAAUUCUCCUUUCAAACCUUCGGCUCCUACUGGACUCCGCUUGACGGGCUGGGCAGUUCCAAUAAUGGGCCUUCGCCAACGGGCCUAAACGGAAUGGGCUGUUAGCCCGGAACGCCAAUUCCGGUACCCACAGUAAGCCCCCAAAGUCUUCCGAAGUGGUUCAGUUUGGGAGACUUUAAUGCCACACAAUUAAAGAAACUUCGAUUCCCGAAUCUGAUAUGAUUGAUUUGUUUUUAUUCAAGGUUGCCUUUUCGGAUUACCGUGCCCCGGUUUUGCUGCUUUGGAAUCCCUAGGUUGCCGGCUAUAAAACGCGACCUUCUAGCUUCCCUAGGUAAUCAUUGGGUUGCAGCCGCCGAGACGCUAUAAAGGUAGAGCCUCCCUCCUUCGUUUUUCUUUUUAAUUUCUCUCUCGCUUCUUCUAUUUUUCUCUGUUUUGCCCGACGCUUCUCCUCGCCGUAUCUUCUGCUACUUCCACUCCGUUCCCAAACUAAGCUUAAGCAUGUCGCCGCCCAAGCAAACUCCAAAAGCCGGAGACGCUUCCCUCUCCAGUCAAUUCGGCCCGCAUCCCAGGUCGACGAUAGGCGAGGAAGAUUUAGUACACGUAAAGUUCCUCUGCGGCCUUACGUCUGAGACGGAGCUCAUCGCUCCUGGGGAUGAUCUGUCGCUGGAGGAUCCUCCUCCCGGGUACUGCUGUGCCUACGAGAUAUUUUUCUCAAAGUGCGGCCUAUAUUUUCUGCUGCCGGAGCUUCUGGUGAAGGCGAUGUUCGCCCUCGGCAUCACCCUCCCCUAGCUAUGUCCGAACUUCGUCCGGACUAUUCUUUGUCUGCAGACCUUAGCCGAAGAGCACGGCUACAUCAUCACCUUCCAGGACAUCCUCCACCUUUACACAAUAAAGAGUGGCCGGACUAGAGGGACCUUCUAUCUCAGCCCGCUGGCCGGGUUCCGAGUCUUUGACGACUUCCCUGAGAAAGACGAACAGUACCGAAGUGGGUAUUUCUUCUUCCCGGUUAACCGGGCCACCUUCGGUGAUUUGCAGGAGCUGCUUGUCCCGCACUGGUCUCAGAAACCUGGUAGAACUGCGAGAAGAUUCGAAAAUUUCUUGCUAUCACCUAUCAGUUCGGGGUACUAACUCGUUUUCUCUUCUCCUUUUUUUUUAGCUUCCCUUGAGCGCGGACCAUUAUCUCAAACCUUCGCGAACUAUUUCGUUACCUUCUGCAGUGCUGAAACUGCGUGGGACUCCUUCACCUGCCCCCAUAUCCGUGAGGCAGGUGCCCGCAUCCGUACUAGGUUUCUUACUAUCUCUUCUCCUCAGUCUGCCCCUCCCAAGAUGAACUACCGCGAAGAGAGGGCUCACAAGAAAAAGAUGGAGCUGAAAGAGAAUGAACUAAAGAAGAAAAUGGUUCGCGAGGUGAUCACUCUGCCCGACAGCGACCUCAGCGCUGAAUCUCCUGCCGCUCGCCCAGCUCCUGAAGAGGGUCAAGCCAGCGGGUCAAAGAAGCGGAAAGCCGCGGAACCCGCUUGUCCGGUACGUUCGAGCUCCAAGCCAUGAGCUGAGGAGAAGCCCGCCGAGACCCCUGCCCCGAAGGGCUCCUUGCCUGCGGCUCCGAGUUCCGCUGAUCCGAAGGCAACUCCGAGGCGCGAACUCCCGGGUAAACUACUUACUGAUAGCUCACUUCUAAUACACGAGCAACCCCGAGCUAACAUAAAAGCUUCAUUUUUAGCUCCUCCAAAAUCCUUGGCUGACAUGAUGCGGAGCUCGGGUCCCCGCCUUCAAGGACAUGUCCGUGAACAACCGGGAGGACUACUUCCGCUUCGCCGAGAAGGUCGGCGAGGUAAGCCUACUCCCUUUUGCUUCGCAAGUGGCUGCACCUUCACCCUUGUAAACACUUUCCUGUCUUUGGCAGAUGCUCUUUGAGUUUAACAGCUCGGAGGUGAAGAAGGUGAAGAAGUACUAGUCCCUGGAGGCCUCCAAGUUCAACAAGAAGCUCAACCUGCAGAUCGCCGAAUCCUACGUGGAGGCUUGUCAAGACAAGCUAAAGCUGGCUGGGGAGCUGUACCUGAAGGCGACCACUGCCGAGACAGAGGCAAAGAAGGAACUCCAGGAGAUCAAACUAAGAAAUCAGCUCCUGGAAGCAGGGAACAACUCCGAGAUGGAGAGGGUGCGAAGAGAGGAGCGGAGGAAAACGUGAGCCGAGCUCCGAGAAACAAUCGACAAAAUUGGGUCGCACCUCGAGGAGCAUGACCGCUUAAUGCCCCAUGCAAGCCGAGCUGCUGAGAUCACCGCCAACCGGAUGUUGGUGGAAGAGAUCGAGAAGGGCGAGAUUGCCGACCUGAAGGAGGAGCUCAAAACCUUGAAAGCUGACAAGAAGGCUGCUCGCCUUGAGGCUGAAAAGGUAAAGGACUUAACGUUUGAUCCUGCAUCGUAUACUGCUAUAUUGGCAGAUACCCCCCCCACCCCCCCCCCCCCGAACUCGGGCCUGACCCCGCUCCUGCUCCCCUUAUGAUCGAGGAGCCUACUUCUGACCGCCUGUUAUACCGAACCAGGAACUGGAGGCAAUCUAGCCGGACCUCAGCAAGGAGGUAAACGCUUUUAUGAACCCCGGGGGUGAUGAAGCUCUUGUUGGCGAGGCGAGUGGCACCCCUUUGGCCUGCCCCGAAGACCUUGCCGCGGGCUCCGUGCUUACUUAACUUCCUAUUCGGGGUUGUAUUGGGCUUAGACCCCCCCUUUUGUUUAUUGCUAUCAUUACUUUUGCUUUCGGUUGCUUUUUGCUUAUUUUACGAACUUCCUAAGAUUCAUGCACGUGUUUUUGACCACGGAGGUCACACUCUUAUAAUUGCUUCAGACUCUACUAAGUUUGCUUUAUAUCGUUUUUAAGAUGUGGCAACACUUUAUUACCAUCUUGCUUAAAAAGAACUUAUAUUAUUAUUAGCUGGACUCGACAAACCGAGCUGCCUACGUACCCAAAAAGGGGAUCAAGCACACCGUAGUUCGAUUACAAGUGUUUAUCACUACUUUUUUUUAAAGGUGUAGAAUCGCUUAAGAUGCAGGGCAUUCCACGACCUGGGGACCUUCUUUCCGGACAGUUCCUCGAGGCGAUAAACCCCGUUACGCACCUCAGCAACAAUUUUGUAACGGCCCUCCCAAUUCACACCAAGUUUUCUGGCGUUAAGCUCUCUUGUAUUUUCGUAAACUUUUCUUAGCACAAGAUCGCCCACGUUGAGAUCGCGACCCCUUACUCUUGAGUUGUAAUACUUCGCGAUCGUGCUCUAGUAAUGCUGCAAACGAACUAAAGCCCGAUCGCGUUUCUCCUCGAUGAAAUCGAGGGCAUCCCGAAGAGAUUCUUCAUUCUCUUCGGGCAUCGUGGGGUUCGUGGUUACCCGGACUCCUGGUACAGCGAGCUCUGCUAGGACUACCGCCUCUGUCCCAUACACCAGCAAAAAAGGGGUUUCAUGCGUUGCCCGCCGAGGCGUCGUUCGGAUUGCCCAUAAUACGCCUUGUAGUUCCUCGGCCCACCGACCCUUAUAUGAAUCCAGCCGCUUCUUUAGGUUAGCCAAAAUUACUUUAUUCAUAGCUUCGGCCUGGUCGUUCCCUUGUGGGUAGUGGGGUGUAAACUUGCUCAACUGAAUCUUCUAGUGGGCACAAAAUGCUUCGAACUGCCUCGAUACGAACUGCGACCCAUUAUCCGUUACUAUCUCGUACGGGAGUCCGUGACGGCAAAUCACAUCAUUCCAUAUGAACUGCUGGACCUGAGAACUCGUUACGACGGAAUACGCGGCCGCCUCUACCCACUUGGAAAAGUAAUCGGUGAGGACUAGCAGGAACCUCACCCCCCUCGUCGAGUUGUGCAAAGGCCCUAUUAUGUCCAUCGACCACCUCAUGAACGCGUAGGGAGCCGAGAUUGACGACAUGAGUUCCGAGGGUUGAUGAAUAGUGGGGGCGUGCCUUUUGCACCUCUCGCAAUUUCUUACAAACUCUUCACAGUCCGCUUUCAUCGUUGGCCAAAAGAAACCGUACCGCUUGAUUUUGAUUACCAGUGUUCGGGCCCCUGCGUGAUCCCCAUUGGGUCUAUCGUGGACCGACCGCAUCACUAUCCUUGGCGACUUCCCGGCGAUGCAAGUUAAAUAAGGACCUCUGACACUGCGACGGAGUAGACCCUCAUUGUGCAGACAGAAUCGGGCCGACACGGUUCUAAUCUUCCGAGCCUGCCAUUUAUCUUGGGGCAGCUCACCUUCCCUUAGGCAGUCUAGGAUGGCGGCUCUCCAGUUCACUCCUUGGUCCUUCUCUGGGAGCCCCGAGGGGUCCUCUGGCCCUUCCUCCCCAGGCUCCUCACGGCAAGGGAAUCAGGCUGCUGGGGUCCCAGCCGGCGCUUCGGAGUUUUCCUCACUUUCAGGAGCAGGGAGAUCCCCCGGCAAUGAAACGUUCCAUCAAGGUCUAACGGCCUUGGUAGGGACGUCGGGUAGUUCAUGGACUAUGGUUCCUGCUACUCGGGAACGCGGUUCAGCUCUUCAGCUACGAGAUGAACCGCGUUCUUUGCUUGAUGGAGCUCAUCGAUUGUUAUAUCCGGCAUUCCCCCGUUCAUGAACCUCUCAGCGAGUAAGUUCAUGAGUUUUUUGCAGUUCCGGGUAGCGUGCCCAGCCACCUUGUGGAGUUCGCAAAAAGAAUCGUCUUCCUUCUCCUCCCGGGUCUACUUAUUGUUUGGUAAGGCCCCGUUUCUGCCUCGUGGUCCGAAUCCUUGUUUCGACGGGGCGCCCUUUGGACCCCCCUUCUGGUGGUCCACCGCGAAAGUGGCUGGUCCCGGCCUUUGUCCCUGCACGCUCCGUCUAGCUCCCUGAUCGAAGCUCGGCUUGGGAGUUACUUUGUACUUCUUGGCGAGUGCGGCUUUCUACUCCUCCGCUACGAUCCAGUUCGAUGCCCGAUGAAGGGCGUCCUGGAUACUAGAAGGGCGGUUAACCGUCAGCUCUUCCCUGAGUCAAGACUCGUGCCACAACCCAUUUUUAAGGGCGGACAAUGCCGCCGAGUCGGAGAGUCCGGGAAUCUGGACCAUUAUUUCUUUAAACUUUGUGAUGUAAGACCGAAGUGAAUCGUUCGGACCCUGGCUCAAAUUCCACAACUGAGCGUCGGUCACACCUACUCCUAUGAAACUCGAAUAUUGCUUCACGAAUGUAGUGGAGAGCUGAGUGAAGCUGUCGAUCGUCCCUUCUUGAAGCGAGGCAAACCACAGGAGGGCUGGUCCGACGAAUUUUUCGGCAAGAGCUUACAAUACCCCGCAUCCUCCUCAUGAGGCUUAAAGUCCACCCUUCCUACCGUAAGGAGGAAAGUGUGGAGGUGAACUUUAGGGUCACCCUUUCCUUCAUAGCUGAGAAAUUUAACCUUUCGCGCAUCCUUAAUGCGCAUUGUCGAGAUUCUAGGCGAGAAAGGAGUCCUCUUCGACUCCUCGAUAACUCGAUCGAUAUCCGAGGCGGAGCUCGUCGCGUGGUGGACCUUUGACUGCAUGGCUCGGAUCUCAUUCUGGAGGAUUGAAAUUUCCGGAUUGGGCAUGACCACCGCCCUGUCCUGGGUCGGAGUACGGAUGCGGCCAGGCGUGGAGCUCCUACUCGCGGGAGGAUGAGUUUCCUGGCCGGGGUACGGAAUGGCCGUCCCUUGCGGAGGUGCUAAUGCCGACAAACCAGCCUCUCUUGGCUGGUUUUCUGCCGAGUUCACAGCGACUGGGGGAACUGGUCGCCCGCUCCCCGGGGACGUCGCUGGUAACCCCCCACCAAAAUCGAGCAUAUGGGACCGGCGGAGCGUGGUACUGACACAUGUCCCUUCCACAAGCGCGUCCACUUGGGCUGCGUAAGCGUUGUGAGCGUUGGACAGCUCGGAGACGGUUUCGGACAAGGCGGCCACCUGAGCGGUGGACCGCUCCUCGAAUCCUCCGAGCUUCUCCGAGAGCGCAGCUGUAGCUAACUGCUGCUGCUCUGUCUUCCCGGAUAAAUCCUGCAAUAACUUCUGAAUAGAAACGAGGGUUACCUGACUAUCAUCGCUCGACAUUUUGCUAGAAUGAGGACGGAAGGUUGGAAACAGGGAAUCGGUGGGUUAGGGAAUAAGAAUCCCCACAAACGGCGCCAAAAUGUGGGAGCUGAAAUCCACGAACUGAAAACGGAGUGAACUCGAGUGGGCUCCUAAUUCCCUGUCCGAACUAGUGAACAGAAUUGCGAAAUGAUUGAGAGAAAAUUGCUUAGUUUUAUUUAGUAUCUUUUGCCAAAAAUACGACCCCUUUACACUUUGUUUUUCCUCCUACUUAUACUACUCUGGCAAGCAUUGAACGCGCAGCGAACUUUGCUCCGCGAAUCGCGCCAUUCUCAUUAAGGCGCCGCUUGACCCGCUGAUAGCCCGUUUUGAUUCUCCUUUCAAACCUUCAGCUCCUACUGGACUCCGCCUGAUGGGCUGGGCAGUUCCAAUAAUGGACCUUCGCCAACGGGCCUAAACGGAAUGGGCUGUUAGCCCGGAACGCCAAUUUCGGUACCCACACCACUAAUUUUUAUUCUAUGUUUAAUUUUAAGGUUAAUCGUACGGUUAACUAACGGUUUUAUACGGUUACGGUUGAUAACGAUUACGAUUAAUAUUUUUUAUAACUGUGACAGAUUUAUUUUUACAGUUAACGGUUAUGGUUUUUAACCGUUUUAUACGGUUAUGGUUGAAAAACGGUCUGGUUAUAGUUAGAAAUACGAUUAAAAUAAGAUUUUAGUCAUUCUUAACGUUGGUCAAUGCCGAUCAAAAUUGGUCAACGCCAUAUUUCAGCGAUAAAGUCACCAAAAAAAUGGUUAUUGUAUUGUAUACAUAGCUUAUGCUUGUUUAUUUAUGUCCUUAUGUAAUAACAAUAGUUCAUGUAAUUAACGAACAAUUAUACCAUUUACAUGUAUGUUGCUGAGAAUGAUUUUUUCAAUUUUAAAUAAACAAAGCCGGACUGAACUCAUAAACCUUUUUUAACACCCGAUAACACAUUAUGCUCAUUCUUGAGUUUACAUCUUUUCAUUUUAUUCACGUUUGACUUUAUUUUUUGUUUCUAUAAACUCGACCGACUUCAAAUAAACUAGCAUCUUAUUUUUAUUUUUUUAUUUUUUUUGCUAAGAAUGUAAAUAUCAUUUCAUGAAAUGAAAGUUUAAGUAUUACAUCAAGUAAUUCCUAAAUACAUGGUUCUAUGCCAAAAAAGUUUAAAAAACAUAGAAGCAUAAACAUUCGAGCUUCAAAUCAACAUCUAAAACCACAAGCAGUAAAACUAAUUGGACGUCGAGAAGAGAACUCGAUAAAAUGACUCCCCUAAGGAAAAGAAGGCAAGAAACAAGAGCAGAAAGGGAAAUAGGUGGACAUCAGACUGUUGUGGAAGCGAAGCGGAAGUCCCUUCAACGUGAGCCCGAAACCAAAAAAAGCUGCGGAGCAUCACGAGCUAAAGGUGGCACGCAAUGCUGUUCUCUACCGAGACCCCAACAGUAGCGCGAACAAAGCAACAUCAUAUCCUCCAAAAGCCACAUACUAACACCUCCAAAAUGCAAAGAACAAUCACAGUAAACCACAACCAAACUGAAGUUUCACUAGCCACUACAAAUACUUAGCUGAUGAAAGAGAGCGAAAGGCAUUGAAGGAGGUGAACCAAGGUAGCAGAAUAAACUCAAACAUCAAGUAGCAAAGCCAACAAGCGCGACAUAGCCGGAGUUGCGUGGACAUGCCAUCGAAUCUGCGACACAAGGCUAACCUCAAAACCUGUAUCAAGCAAAGACAACUACUCCUUCCAGCCGAAACUCACUAGAAUCCUGAACAAGCAGAAAGAGACUCGGGCAAAUCAAGUCUAAAGCAUUAAGUCUGCAAUGACUUGGGAGAUGGCACGAAUAGCGAUGGAACCUGGUGACCAAAGGAGCAAGAGAAGUCGGCUCUUGAAAGGAGGCCAUACAAAUAACAACAAUCUUCAUGAAUAAUUCAUUCCCUUUGCAGACCUAUGAGCUGAAGAUCGGAACAACCAGGAUUCUGCAACCUAAUCACUAACCACACCAACCUAAACUCCAACAAACAACAGAGCUCACUGUACUCAACGAAGAGACAAUAAGACAGGGAGACCAACGACUCUAAUUCACAGAGCGGCAGCAGUGGCGAACAGCUUGAAGACUAGCAGCAAACGAAGGAAGGAGGAGAGCAGAAGCUUACCAACACAAAGGCGGAGUAACAAAACACCGCCAAACCUCUACCAAAGGAAGAUCCGCCGCACGCCAAAGGGAAGGAGAAGAGUGAUGAAAGAGACCACAAAUCUACAAACCACUUGCCAGAAAUGACCAUAGCACCACUUGAUAAUAAAAUCAAGAAGUCGAGCGAAGCUAAACAACACUCAAAAUCACCGAGGUUCACCGCGUGUACAGACGUCCUAAAAGUCACCGUCUUCAAGCAACCAUAUAAGGAGCGAGCACGCCGUGGCGGUGAAUUCGCCGAAAACGCUGAAAGGUCCCCAACAAGUCGACGCCUUUUCAAUCGAAGGAAGAGUUUCCAGAGAACGAAGCCACUUAGAUCUGUCACCAACGCUCGUCAAAUCACAGUUGUGAAGGUGCCCAACCGAUGAACGGAGAACCGAGAAGCCCUCUCACGGCCAUGGCGAGAGGCGCCAAUGACCGGAGAGGCAAGAACUGCGGCAGAUCUAGGUUUUACAAGCAGUGGUUGUCGGGGGGGG
This 45268-nucleotide long non-coding RNA is filed under the name Capsella rubella. RNAcentral describes it as "long non-coding RNA (CRUB_LNC004259)". Lineage: Eukaryota; Viridiplantae; Streptophyta; Magnoliopsida; Brassicales; Brassicaceae. The record is from RNAcentral.